AAACAACAACUAUUCUAAAUGCUAUGAGUUUGUUACCUCCUGAUGAUUUAAUUGGAGCUGAUAAACCAUUUGCAGAUGCUCGAUUAGGAAGCAUUAAUGGACCACUAAAGAUUGGUGCUUUACGAACUUGGCAAACUUUCUCAUUUGCUGGUAAAAUUUCAUUCUCAAACCUAAUCAAUAGCAAACCGUAAGCUCAAAAUCUACAAAUUUCUCUUCCACUUCUGAUGAUUUAUAAAUCAUUUUCUUAAAUUACAAAAGAUAAGAGAUUAAUCUCACAUGUAUACAGAUGAGCUGUAAAUCAUUUUCUUACUUAUCCUUCAAUUUCACAACCAUAAAAAGGCCAAAGCAAUAUCAGAAGAAACUAUAUUAAAUGAAAUAUGCCACCGACCAAUCAUAAUCAAAUGUUCUGUUGAAUCAACUUAAAGCACAUUGGAACCAAGACUUGUCAGAUUGACACUUCUGUUUUAUUGGAGAGAUAGAGACAAAAAUAGCCUAUAACAGCGGUAUACUUUUAUGACCUCAUAUGGCUUUUCACUAGCCCAACAUUUAGACCAUGUUAUAUUAAAACAUAAUUCAACAACAGAGGCAAAAACACAAGAGAAAAAAAUUAAAUGGCCCAAUUUAUAGAAUUAACUAUUCUCAAAAUCACAGGCAAUAAAAUAGUCCAAAAGGAAAAGACCUACUUCACGUUUGGUAGUUAAAAUCAUAACCAGGGCCUACAGCCAUCAUAUAGCAGAUUGAGUCCCCUCAUAUGUUAUAGGAUAUGUUUUAAACUACAAUUAGAACCAAAUGUUCUACAUGCUUAUGCAACAGCAUCAUCAGGUAACAAUUACUUGGAGGAAAAAAAAAAGGCCCAGAUCACUUUAAAAACCCAUGGAACAAAGACAACUGAAAUGGCCAAGCAAACUUAACUACGAACUGUGACCAACCUUUCUGAGUUACGAGCCCGUUCUGAAGAUGAAUGAUUAAGAACAGCACCAGGUGUGAGUGGCCCACUUUGGGUUUGCCUAGGUUUCACUGUUUUAGCCCUGGUCAAUAGCACAUCCUUUUCUGAAGUUGAUGCCAUAAUAUCAAUGCUUGAUCCAUUUCCUCUCAAACCAACCAUCUCCUGGCAGCCAGCUUCGACUAUAUCACAUUCCGGAUUCUUUCCCUUUCCAUUCAAGCAAUCAAACUGUAAUAAAUCAACAUUCCUUGGUCCUCCAAAUUCAGCCUGAGACACUUCCCUAUUUAAAUUCAACUUUCCCAAACUAGAUUUGCAGUAAGCUGAAGCCUGUCAGCCAACACCAAGAAUCAAUUAACAUAGUUUGCUCUAAAGGAAAAAUCAGAAAGAAAUACAAUUCCAAGUUGUAUAAGUAAAAAAGUAGUAUUUUAACCAUGUCUAGAUAUGUACCACAAACUGCUGGGGCAAAAAAAAAAAAAAAAAUACAAAUACUGACCUUUUGACCAAGGCUUGAUUUCAUUCUUUCAUAGUCACCUUUGCACUUAUGAAUGUCGUCAUCAUCAUGCACCUUAGCAUGUUCAAUUGAAAAAAUGAGUAUAAACUGAGUGAUUGAUAUAACCAACGAAGAAAUUAAUUCUCAUACGUUAUGUCUGCAUUACAAUCUUUAUUAUUAAAGGCUAAAGUUAAAUAUGAGGCCUACCAGAGAUGCUUGCGCUUUCAAAUCCUCAAUAUCGAAAUUCCAGGCACUAACUCCUCUUUGAUACUCACUCUGACAAGCACAAGACAACACCCCAGCAGUAAGAAAACACAAAUGUCCCCAAGUGCACAACUCAACAGUUAAAAAUUUCACAGAUAUGUCAUUUUGAAGAACAGGUAAAUCAGAUAUAAGAUAAAAAUGACUUCUGAUUAAUAAUUCCUAACCUGUGAUAUAGCUUCUUGUUCUGCUGAAGGCAUUUUCUUUUGAGCUAGUUGUGCAGCAUCUUUAAGCUGUAAAAUUUUGACAAAAAAGGGAUAAAUUAGACAAAUACUGUGAGCAAAUGAAGCAAAACAUGUGCAUUUUGGCAGUGUGAUCAUUAACCUGAAAGUCUUUCACACGAUUCCAAAGUGGUGGCAGACCAGAAAAUAACUUCUUCACAGAAAGCUCAGGAGGCUUUGCAUGCUUGAAAAAGGAGUGCUUUAAUAAUUUCUCUGCAGUUGGCCUCUUUGUUUGAUCUUUCACCAGGCACAUCGCAACCAUUUCUUUAAAAGACUGAUCACAACUGGAAGUCCUUUAAUUAGAAAUUUGCUAUGACAAAUAAGCAAUUGUAAAACACCAUUAAAUGCACCAAUCAAUGUUUUAUGUAUAUAAUGACAAAUAACAUGUCUGUCACUGUGAUGAUGUAGCCAGAAAGAAUAGCAGUACCUUAGAGAACUUCUUAUCACGACCAUAAUCAAGUCCUGGAGGAGCAUUUUGUAUGGUCAUCAGGAGAACCUGUUAUUGUUAGAAAGAAAAGUUGUAAAACAUAAAUAAGAUGUUUACUAAAAGCUCGUGUUAUUGAUACCUUCAUUGGUGGAGCAUUUAUAUAAAUUCUUGUUAUAUGUUCAACUGGGAUUAGAUACCUUAAUUGGUGGAUAUUUUGAAAAAGGUGCAUGACCAUGAGCCAACUCCAAUGCUGUUAUGCCAAAUGACCACAUAUCAGCCCUGUGAAAAAAUGCAACCAAUUAAUGAAAUUACAAAAUUAAGUUGAAAAACAAAAUGUACUACUUCUUUAAAUGUACCAAGAAAUAUACCAACUUUGAAUGCACUCAAGCCAAAUUCAACUCAGUCCAAGCAUAAUAGCCAUUAACUAUAUAAAAUAUACCAGAUUCCCAUGGUACAAUUUGAAUAAUUAAAAUAUACAUCACAAAUUUGCAAUGUAUCUGCAAAAGUGGCAACUUUGAGGAGCAUAGAUAAUUUAAUAGAAUGCCAUGAUGUGUGGAUAAAGUAAAAUUUUGGUUUUUGGAAAAAAUAUAUAACUUGGACCAAAAUCAUGAUACCUUGCAGGUUCAAACCCAUGACCAAACCUUGCUACCCAGAAACAGAAAAACUUGUGUAAACUAAGAUGCCAUACCUACUGAACUUUUUAUGGUGACAAUAUGUAUUUACGAGAAAUUCUUAGGCUUUAAAUAUUUUUCAAAAUCUUAAACACGGAUUGAAACUCACUUGGAGUUAUAUCCACUUCCUGGCUGCAAGACCUCUGGAGCCAUCCUGCAAAGAAAGGAUAAUUGAAAUCUCAAAUCAUGGAAAAAUUCAAGAAGAAAAAUAAAUUCUAUCAAUGGCAUCAGAGUGGGAGAGGUGAGGAAGAGAACAAUAAUUGUUUGACAGAUUUGACAAAGAUAGCUCACCAGCAAGGAGUCCCAACAAAGGUAUUUCUAGAACGUUGUCUAUCUCCUGCAUCAAACAUGCAGGCUGAAACACCAAAGUCAGCAAGCUUUACUGAGCCAUUGUAGUCAAGCAGUAUGUUCCCGGCCUGUAAUGUCAAUUUAAAAACAACUGAAAUAAAAGGAAUGAUAAAUUCAUUUGGAUAAAAUAAUGUUAACUUCAAUGGUGUCUUGACCUUAACAUCCCGAUGAAUAUGUCCUUGUCGAUGAAGAUAAUCCAAAGCCUUAAGAGUUUCUUUCAGAAUAGAACCAAUGGCAGGCUCUUCAAAUCCAUCAGGAUAAGCUAUCUUCAUGAGGUGCAAACAGGAACCCUCCGACAUAAAUGGCAUGAUUACCCAAAGGUUAUAGUCAACUACGAACGAACAAUAUGCCCGAACAACAUUUGGGUGAUCAAUUAAACUCAUCGUUUGAGCCUCCCGGCGUAUUUCAUCCUGAAAAGAGCAUUAGUCAUCAAGAAAGCUACACAAGAGUCAAAAGAUCAUGAAGAGAGGAGGUAUUGACUAACAUGAAAAGUAGAAAAUAUAGACCUAAGCUAUACCACUCAUGAUACUAACAGUUAUAAAGCCUCUAAAUGACUUCCAUCAUAAAAGAUUCCAGUAGCCAAAAAACAAUGCGGCAUGCACAUAUUGAGUGAUUCUAUUAUUAUCAAACAUAAAACUUGUUCAGUGGAAUGACCUAUAUGUAAUGAAACAAAAUAGCUUACCAGAACUUUAGUACGCAUGAACGAUAACUAAGGCUUUGUUUGGAUUGAGAGGAAGCUAAGGGAAGGAAAAGUAAGGUACGGAGAAUAGUACUGUCCUCGUUUAGAAAACGUUUUAACAGGACAAAAUUUUAAUCCCACCAGUAACAAGUAACAACUUUUAAAGUCUCUUAUUAUUUUGGAACUGAGUCCCCCUGAUUUCUCAAUCCUUUCUCAGUUGAGUAGCAAAAUUCUAUGAGAACAAAAUCAUCUCCUAGGCAUAUCAAGUGGGCACCAAUUUAAUUCCUUUAUAAACAUAUUCCUAACUGAAAGAACAAAUAAUCCCACGGAUCCAAUGGUGUCAGCAUUUUAAAGUAUUCCUUGCUGGCAGAUAUCCAAGCUUUAAAUAACCAUGGAAUGUUGAUAGACUAUCUUCAGUACACACAGUAGCAAUCCCAUUUCAGCACUAAACUGCCUCAGCUAAAUCAAUGGUAUGGUCGCUACCAAAGAAAAAUUCCUAUUUGAAUGGUAUGGUUCGCAUAACACUAUUAAAUAGAGUUUUCUUGCUUCCUCAGAAACAAUUAAAGAUAGAAGAUAAAAGGAACAAUUUUCAACUUCAAACAAUUUCAAAAGGAACAAAUUCCAACAAUUAUCUGGCACUAGAGAAAGACGUACACACAGACGAGAAACAAAGCUAGAAUUCAAUCAUCGUUCAAAACCUCAUAAACUCCGACUUUAAGGCAACGAUUUUCAAUAAUAAAAAGUAAGAAUCUCAGAAUUCCAUUCAACUCCACGAGAAACAAUUAAUAAAUCCACAAUCAAAUCAAUUUAAUCAAACGAGAUCUAUUCAAAACCAACUAAAAUCAAAUCAAGUUACAGCAUUAUUUGAGUAGAAACUAAAAAUCAAAUAAAGAGUAAAAAACGAACCAGAUUACUAUUGCAACGAUCGACAUCCAGACACUUCACAGCUACGACCUCGUUAGAAGGGAGAUACAUCGCUCUAUAAACGGUAGCACUGGCGCCACAACCAACCUCUUCUAAAAGCUUAUAAUCGUCAGAAUUCGCUGAGUAACGUCUCUGACUUCCACCCAUUCUCCUCAUGCCCUAAAACCUUAAACCGCCUUUGGAGAACCAACGCAUUAACCGUCAAGAAGUAGUCGCUUAAAGACGCCAGCAAAGUAAUUUAACAGCAAAAGAAUCGUCCCGAAAAUUAAAAGGCGGCUUAUUUCUUUUGUUUUUAUUAUUAGGCGUGAAGUAUUUAUUUGAUCCGUUGACCGCCAUGAGCGGCGACAUAGAGAGGGGACUGGUUUGAGGUGAAGAGCGAACGGGCUGGUGCUGACGUGGCUAAUUGCUGCUAGUUGAUUGGAUUUUGACACGUGGAUUUUUCCCAUGAGUUGGCAGACGACUAGACGUAGCUUAUUUUAUUUUCUUCUCCUUUUCUGAGUUUUGAUUAUUUAUAGUGGCGUUUUCUCCGUAAGUUUACUUUGUCAUAACUCAUAUGCUAAUAUGAAAUUUCAAUUAAAACUAGUUAUUAUUAUUAAUUACAAAUAAAUUAACAAAUUGCACAUUCCUCAGACCCAAUCAAGUCCAUUAAUAUUUUUUUAUAAAAUUAUUAUUAUUAUUAUUAUGAAUAUUUCCAAAUGCCCAGUAUACUAGACUACAAUAUGCCUCAAAUCUUUAUUGUCUCUAAAAUUAAAAUGAAAUUAAGUUUCUCAUUUAUUACAAAAUAUUUCUUAUAAUUAAAAUAAUAAAAUUUUUUAAUUUUUAUCACUUUAUUUAAAUAAAAUCAUAUAUUUUUAUUAUAUUCAAAUAAUUUUUUUAAUUCAUAUUUAAGUAAACUCUUUACUUUUAAUUCCAAAUCGUCUUUGUCAUUUAACAUUUAUCUAAAUAAAUCUUCAAUAUAAAUCAAUCCUUUCAUUUAAAAUAAAUUUUUAAUUAAAUAUAAAUUAAAAAAUAAAAAUCUAUUAACUAUGAUAAAAAUAUAAAAAUUUAUUUAAAAUUUUAAAAUAAUUCAAUAACUUUUUAAUAGUUUACCCAUUUCAGUCAUUUCAUUUUAUGAUUUUUUGUUUUGUUAAUUGACUUCCAAAUUUCCAAAACUGGGUAACAAAUUUAGAAUAAGAGAUUGGAAAAAUUGCCCCAAUACCACAUUUCCAUUUUUUAUAAUUUAUAAUUUACACUGUCAUAGGAUUCUCAUGAGCCUCAAGCUUUUGGCGGAGGCUUUGGAGACCAAGUAUCCAAUCCCAAAGCACAUCACCCAAAUGCCCACAUCAAAGGCCCAACUCACCUGCCUCCCACCACAAUCUGCCUCGCACUUUCCUUCCAAACCGCUACUGUCCGGUUCCCAACAACUGCAGCAAUAUCUACCGUCCGAUUCACUCUCCCCUUCUCUCUCCUCUGGAAUAUCCUCCAGCUGAUUAAAACCCACCCUCCUAUUCUUCUUCCUCUUCCUCGCAGACAUUUCCACCCUCUCUAAGAUCGCCACGUUUCCCUCUACAGCCACGCAGACAUCCGCCAUCGCCCGUUCAACGGCAACCGUUUCCCCAUCCCCUCCUUCCAGCGCGCACUUGCACUCCAUUUUCCACCUCUGCGCCUCCUCUCUUCUGAAAAUCCCUUUCAACACCUUUUCCUCUCUUGAAUAAACCUCGAACCGGACCCCAUCCCCGGCGCGAACCCGCUCUCUGCUCCCAUAUAUCGCCUCUCCAACUUUCGUCUCCACUUUAACCAUCCGAUGGAGAGUCAAGAACGCGAAGGAAUCGGGCCGGAUAUUGGACCCGGAAACUUCGAGUGCCGUUUCGUUGAUUCUUGGUGAGUAGAGUAGGGUGAGCGAAUCGGAUAACAGUUCCGCACAAGAACCCAAACCCGAGAAACGAAUAAAGAAAGCUUUGAUCUUCAAAAGACUUUGAUCGCUGGAGCGAAAGUCGUGAUAACAAUCCGAAGACCUACACAUUUUUUAUUUUUAUUUGGUUUCAAAAAUGGAAUCUGAAAUAUCUUUUGAGGGAUUUAUAACGCAAGAGAGUGGAUGUGGAGGCGAUAGAGGCGGUUCAGGCGACGUCGGUUUUGGAGAAUAAGGGGGGUGAUAGCACACGGUUUUUAGUGUCGAAAUGUACAAGAAGACAACAGCUAUAAAUUCUUGUCGGAUAAGAGGUAACUUGAUGGAAUUUUCAAACUUUUCAUUGUGAUAUUAUCUAGUCGCUCCGAGUAACGAAGAUGGUGUCUUUGUGGUUUUGAUUGUGGAAUUUUCAAACUUUGGGGCCAUAGAUGGCUGAUACUCUUGGCUUCUUUCUUUUGUUUGGAACUAAAAUAAUUAUCUUCAAUUUAUGAUAGUGAUGAGAUUCCUCUUGGCUGCUUAUUACAACUUGAUUGAUUGUGAAUCCGAAUUCAUCCAUGACAGUUGACUUGUCAAUUUACGCCGGUAGAGCUUUGGUUUCGUUUCUCAGUUGGGGCUGGGCUUCUUGUAAAGGAGCAGUGCUCGUUUAAGCCUAGAAAAUAGGGUUAGGCGUACAAUAGGGGAAUCUCGGCAAGUCUAUUGUUAAGUGAGAUUUUAGAUUUUAUCGUAUUUUUAAUAUAAAUUUUUUAUGAAAUUUUUUUAAUAAUAAUUAUAAUAAUUUUUAAUUUCAUCGAAAUUAAUUUUAUUAUCCAUUUAAAUAAAUCUUAAACCAUUUUGUUUCGCUGCUAAAUGAUUAAAAAGGAACCAAUACUGAAAUCAGUUUUAAGAUAAAGAGUUUUGAAUCUCAAUAAGCUGUUAAUUCCGUAAUAUUAAGAUCGACUUCAAUAAAGAGAAUUUUGAGUUCGAAACGUAAUUAUAAUUCAAAAGAUUAAAAAAAUAUAUAUUACGGAAGAAACAUCCAAACGUGUCUUGUUCUGUUUCAGGAAUUUGAGGCAUGUUGUUAACGACAAUUGCUUGGUGAUAAAAUUUUCAAACCACGUUUGUAGAAAAAUGAGAAUUAGUCGUCUGAUAUGACAAAAGCAAUUGGAGCUGUCUUCCGACUGGACACUGCCGCAACUAGCAACCAUGUGACUUUCGGUGGGGAGAUGAUGACUUCUUACAAUUCGGGAGAGUUGUCAAUAGCGCUAUGGCAAUCUAUCUCUUUCCGCUUGAAAUGCCGUUUUGGUAUUGGAUGAAGUGCCAUUUGGGCUCUGGUUUGAAAGCAACUUCAACUUCACUAUAAAUAAAUCUUUUAAAUUGGAUUCGAAAUUAGAAUUGACGUUUAAUUAGAGAUAUCGGUCAAAUUCGUUUCGAAAAAUUUUGAUUUCAUACGAUUUUUUAGAAUCGAUUUUUUUAAAUAAAAAAUUAUAUUUCAAGUCAAUAUCAAAUUUUGAAUAAAUUUCAUCCGAUUUAAUAUAUAAAAAAAAAUUAUUUUUAAAUUAUUUAUUUAAUUUUAUAUUUAUAUUUAAAAAUAAUAUUUUAUUAAUUUCAAAUCAAAUCAAAUUUAAAUAUAAAAAAAUAAAAAAUUUAUCAAAUCGAAUAUCAAAUUUAAAAUAAAUAAAAAUUUCUUUCGGCUCUAUCCGUUAUUAUUUCUACGUUUAAUAGACCUGAUAAUUCAAAUUCUGAAUGCACGCGAAAUUGUGGGUUACAUGGCAUAGUGAUCCAAUACAAUAUGUAUUGGCAUCUGGCACUGAAAGAACAGAAAUGCACAUGAGAUUAUCUUCCCAUAGCACAUAGGCCUUAUGUUCACUCUUGUCUUCACUUUUAUUUUUACUCCCUCUUUAUCAUCUUAUUUACGGAAUACUGAUUUUGAUUUGAGCGUCCUGCCAUACCAGUUUCGACACCUCUGUCUAAUUGUCUAUGUCUUGCAAGUCUUUUAAUUUUGAUUGAAUGUUACGAUGUUUAAAAUUCAGUUUUAAUCAAAUUAAUAGGUUGAAUUAAUUUAAUUUGAUUAAUUAAUUUAUUAUUAAAUUAAUUUUUAUUAAUUAUUGAAAAUAAUUUUUACAAAAUUUUGAUUUUUGAUUAAUUUAAUUUGAAAAUUAAAUUAACUAAAAUAUAAUAAAACUUAUAUAUAUAACUAAAAAUAUAUGAAUUGUCCAUUUUAUUAUAAAUUUUUAAAGUUUUUAUUUUAAUAUUUGGUAUUUGAAUUUUUUGUUAGAUAAUUUUAUUUAAUUUAUUUUAAAUAUAAGAAAUUAAGAAUUUAUAAUACAAUUUAAUUUAUUUUCUUUUAUUAUUCAGUUAAUAAAACAUUAAUCAAACUAAUUUUAAUUGAUUAAUUUUUUAAAUUAAAAAAUUUAGUUCGAUUCAUAAAAAUAUAAUAACAUAAUUCAAUUAAUUUAAUUUUAAAUAAUUUAAUUUAAAAUUUAUUGAAUCGACUGAACAUAUUCAAACCUCGAUAGCUUGACUAAAGCUUUAAAACCAUUACUUACUGACAACAAGCUUGUUCCCUCACCCCAAUUCAGGACCAUUGCUCUGAAAUGUAGAAAACUGAGAAUAUUAUACAUGCUUAAUUAUUAACUCUUUUUGCAGAUAAAAUGAUCAAAAUUUACAUCACUUAUUGACAUAUAUAUUAUACUGAUAAUUGCAUGAAAAUUUUGAGCAUCUAUGAGAGGACAUUUGGCCUUUGAUCAUUAUCUGAAGAUAUUAUAUAUGAAUAUGACGACUGAAUAAUUUUCAGAUGUAUUUAUAAAUAAGUGCAGAAGCAGAACAACUGCCAUUAGGUAAAACAAUUAACCAUCAGGAGCCUGAAAUUUGGAUUUAUGGUUUACUCUUCCGCCAGUCUUUCAUGAACUAAUGGGAUAUUUAUGACAUUAUCAACAUCAAUAAUGGGUGUCUAUAUCUUGUAUUUUUCCAGCAGUUUCACGUUCUGGGACCACAGUUUUGGCUGCAGCGUGUGGUGGGGUCAAGAAUCAAGACCAUUAGUUUUCAAAGAAGGCUACACUUCCACGACACCAUUUACAUCCUUUACUUCUUGUCUCUCUCUCUUUUUCCAUCUCUUACGAAAAUGAACUUCAAUUUUAUGCACAAAAAAAAAAAAAAAAAAGAAAUUAAGGGAACUUUUUUCAUUACUCUGAUUGUAAGACAGGCUUUGUCAGCAUAGGAGGCAAGAGGCUUUUGCUUACCGUUUGACUAGCUAUUAAUGCUUUAAAGUGGGAAAGAAAAAACGAACAAAAACGUAGUCCAGUUCAAAGAGUUGACUGAAAGGGAAAGAGGAAAUAAAUAUUAGUGACACUAAAUUGUUGGUCUUUCAUGAAUGAUAAUUGACUAGUCUAGAAGGGAAUAAUAAGAAGGUAAAACACUUUUCAGUUCCUAAGUCCUAACCUCAGUCUUAUAAUAAUAUCUACAAGCUAGAAUUAUAUGCAAUAAAAUGUGAGGCUUGAAUCGUUUGUCAAGUUCUCUAGUUGGAUUUCUUGGUUUUGUCUUGUUUGUUUGUUCCUUGUUAACUUCGGCUGGUUAAUUUUAUAAACACAUAAUUACUUGCUGUGAAUCCUGUGACUGUGAGCCAUCCCCUUCCAGUAGAAAAGAAAGUUCUAUUUUUCUACUCUUAGGUUGGUCAAUAUGAAGGAGGAUAAAACUGUAGAAGUGAAGAAUUUUGAGCGGGAAGAAGUUUAUCAAUUAGAUUUCCUUUUUAUUUAACGUUGAUUCAGUGCCGUAUGGUAAAAGGUUUUCAUAUGAUUAGACAUUACUAUAUAUCUUUGCACUUCAGCCAAAAUGUAUACUGUCAAUGGGUACUUUUGUCUGUAGAUGGUUGAUUGUGAUCAUUUGCUGCGAGUUUUUUCAAUGUGUUCACAUUAUCAUAAAUGAUUUUGAGAGGACAUGAAAGAAAAAAAGAACCGACAAAUAGGAAACUGUUAAAGACAUAAUAAUUGCUGAUGUCAGGGUGUUGCGAGAGUAGAAAUUAACAGGGUAGGAAAAUAGAGUCAACAACAAUAAGAAAGAAGCAUUACAUGCACCAAGAAGAUGAAUGCCUAUCCCAAAUUCCAUAUUAUGGCUUGUUACACUAACAAAAAUCAAUGGGGGAUAUAUUACCAGUAAGAAAGAGAGAAACCUCAAUAUGAACAUAAUUUCCAUCAUUUUCUGUUGCAUUGGAUGACUGACCCACAUAGCCACAACUUAACAAUUUUCCUUAAAUCAUGUUUAAACCACACUUAGGAAAAAAAAAGAAUCUCUCUUGUUGACAAUACUAUUAUAACCAACUCAAUGGCCUAGGAAAAAAAAAGGAGAGGUCAAUAAUAUGGUCAUCAAAUCAGGCCAAUGCUCGUUAAGUAAGCUGUUAAAGUUAUGAGCUUUAUAAAUAUUAUAAUCUCCUGCCUACACCUUCAUAGUUCAUACCAAGCACUAUAUUACAUGUUAUUUUCUUCCGAUUGUGUGAGAAGUCAUUUCUACUUUGUCAAAUUGGCAAGUGAAUGAAACUACAAGUAGAUUCUGAACAACAUAUUUACACUAUUAGGAGGGAUAUUUUGGUGGUUCAAUGAUUUAUAUUUAUAUAUGAAUGCUAGUUAUAGGCUGGGAUUCUAAGAAGGAAACUAAGAUCCGCAUCGGUUUCAUGGUGUCUGGUUCAUUGAGAAGGAUUUUAAUGUUCUAAAAGAAGCAGACAAGGAACCACUUGACAACUUGUUUGAAAUUAUGCAAUAAGUCUCUAAUCCGUCUAUCAAAGCUAGAAGAAUAAAAGAAAAUGAGAAGUACAAGGUAGACCGAGGUGACAUAUAUAUAUAUAUAUUAUGCAUUGGAUUUGUAUUCCCACAAAAAUAGCCUAGUUUUCUUUUCUAAUCAUUUCACAUGCUUUGUCAGUGGUGAUCAAUUUCAUUUUCUUUAUUCUGUUGAUGUCAAGUCUUCGUUGAAUUUCGCAGAGCAACAAUGAGCAUGGACGAAGUGAAUUAUAAGAAAGAGAAUCAGAGAGAGAACUUGAAAGAACUACAUGAAGAAACCGAGGGUUCAAGGACAAUAGAACCAUGGACAAAGCAAAUCACAGUCAGGGGAAUCAUCGUAAGCAUUCUGAUCGGAACCAUUUACAGUGUGAUAGCCAUGAAGCUAAACCUCACAGUUGGUUUGGUUCCCCAUUUUAAUGUCUCGGCUGCUCUUCUUGCCUUUAUUUUUAUCCGGACAUGGACAAAGGCUGUUCAAAAGGCUGGAUUUAUGUCCAAACCUUUUACAAGACAAGAGAACACCAUGAUACAAACAUGUGCAGUUGCAUGUUACAGCAUCGCUGUUGGAGGUUAGAGAGGUUUCAAGCAUAAGCAACGUUUGAAAUUUCCUUGUUUAUUUUCAGGCUAGUUUCAAUUCUUUCCUGAUAUCACCACUUUUUUUUUAUCUGGACUGCAGGUGGAUUUGCUUCUUAUCUUUUAGGGUUAAACAGGAAAACGUAUGAAUUGUCUGGAGUAGACACUGAAGGGAACGCUGCAUCCACUGUGAAAGAACCAGGAUUUGGUUGGAUGACUGGCUUCCUUUUUGUAGUUUGCUUUGUUGGUCUUUUUGUCUUAAUUCCUCUCAGAAAGGUAUAUCUGAUCAACAGCUCUUAAACUUUUUUUCUCCAUCACCAUGACCUUGUUAUAAACAGUUGUGGAUCACUUGCACCAAGUUAUGUCACGAAGGGGAAAGAAAUUUUCAUGGAAACAGUUCAAAAAAAUUUCAUGGGAAUUCUUCUUCUGUACAGGUCAUGAUAGUAGACCUCAAGUUGACUUAUCCAAGUGGCUUAGCAACUGCAGUUCUCAUCAAUGGUUUUCAUAGCCAAGGCGAUGAGUCGGCCAAGUAAGCAUCUAGAGUUAACAUUUCUUUGUUGGUUGUUACAAAUCUAUUCAAAAAGUAUGUAAGAAUCAAACCACAGAAGAAGAAGAAGUUAUGACGUAUGAAUAUGAUCAUCAUUAUUGCAGGAAACAGGUGCAUGGAUUCGUGAAGUAUUUUUCAGCUAGUUUCCUGUGGGGGUUUUUCCAAUGGUUUUUCUCUGGGAAAGAAGGAUGUGGUUUCAAACAGUUUCCUACUUUCGGAUUGCAAGCCUGGAAGCAAACGUACGUCUUUGUUCCUGAAAUGUUAUUGAGCAUAUCGUUCCUUUUAUUUAUUUUUUUGCUUCUUGUUUAUGUGACUAAUCAUUUCUUGGUUUCUUGCAGAUUCUUCUUUGAUUUUAGCCUGACCUUUGUCGGGACAGGAAUGAUCUGUUCCCACCUCGUGAACUUGUCUUUGCUUUUUGGAGCCGUGCUCUCUUAUGGACUAAUGUGGCCACUCAUUAAUCGGCUUAAAGGGGAUUGGUUUUCUGAGGAUUUACAAGAAAUCAGUAUGAAAAGUUUAUAUGGCUACAAGGUCUCUCAGUUUCUUUCUUUCCCGAAACAAGUUCGCUUCCCUAAUAAUUCAAAAAAAUUCUAUAAAAAUGUUUACAGAGCAAUGUUUAUAACCUAUAAUUUUAUGGUGGUCAGGUUUUUGUAUCUGUUGCUCUCAUUCUCGGUGAUGGCCUCUACAAUUUCCUCAAGAUAUUCUGUUUCACGCUUAUUAACAUCCAUGGCAGGUUGAAGAACAAAAACCGAAAUACAGGUAAAUUGAGCAGCAUUCCUAUCUUCUCCUUUCGGGGCGGCGUAAAAGCUAAAGAGUUCAUCAAUGCUCUAUGUCAUAUAGUGAACUUUUGACGGUGAGUAACCAACAUAUAUUGUCCUUGCUUGCAGCUGAUGAGGAUGACCUGAAGAAGACAGCUGAGGAUCUAAAACAAAACGAAGUUUUCCUUAGAGAAACCAUUCCCAUGUGGAUAGGCAUUAUCGGAUAUGUAGUAUUAUCUAUCAUGUCAAUUAUUGUGAUCCCCAUCAUGUUUCCUCAGCUCAAAUGGUACUAUGUGGUUGUAGCUUACAUUCUAGCUCCAUCUCUGGCAUUCUGCAAUGCAUACGGGGCUGGUCUCACUGACAUGAACAUGGCCUAUAACUAUGGGAAAGUCGCACUAUUUCUGCUAGCGGCAUUGUCGGGGAAGGAAAACGGCGUGGUCGCAGGGCUUGCCGGAUGUGGUCUCAUCAAAUCUGUUGUUUCUGUUGCUUGCAUUCUAAUGCAAGAUUUCAAGACAGCGCAUUAUACUCUCACCUCUCCAAGAGCAAUGUUCUUGAGCCAGGCAAUUGGGACGGCUAUUGGCUGCGUUACAGCGCCUCUUAGUUUCUUUCUUUUCUACAAGGCAUUUGAUGUUGGAAAUCCAAAUGGAGAGUUCAAAGCUCCGUAUGCCUUGAUAUACAGAAACAUGGCAAUUCUCGCUGUACAAGGCUUUUCGGCCCUGCCUCAGCACUGCUUGCAACUCUGUUAUGGCUUCUUUGCUUUUGCAGUGGCAGUGAAUUUGGUGAGAGAUUUCUCACCGCAUAAGAUAGGGAAAUGGAUGCCACUUCCAAUGGCCAUGGCGGUGCCAUUUCUAGUUGGGGCCUAUUUUGCGAUUGACAUGUGCUUGGGGACUUUGGUGGUGUUUGUUUGGCACAAGCUGAAAACAAAGAAGGCUGACAUGAUGGUUCCAGCCGUUGCUUCUGGACUAAUAUGCGGAGAAGGGCUAUGGGUUCUCCCUGCUUCAAUUCUUGCCUUGGCCAAAAUAAAUCCUCCCAUUUGCAUGAAAUUUCUGCGGUCUUAGACUUAAGCUUUGCUUAGUAAAAAAAGGAAAAGAAACGAAGAUAAAAAAAUUUGUUAAAUAUUUAAAAUUUAUAAUCAAUUUGAUAGUUUGUAACUUAACUAUUUUGAUUAAAUAAAGUCUUUCAUCCUUAUAAUUUUCCAUCUUUCUUAACAUGCAAAGCUAGUUUGAGCAGAGAAAUCAUGAUAAAAUGUUCAAGAAAAAAGAACAAAAAGUUUAAACGCAGAUCCGAGAACAAAACGCUAGCAGCAAUUGUGUCCGAGUGGUCGAUGACUAGAUUUUUUUUUUUUUUUUGAAAAUAAAAACUUCAAUCUUUGGGAAGAUAGCAUAAUAAAUGCUGCAAGUCUACAUUACUUUGGCACUUUCAUGAAAGGAUAAAAACCAGAGUACUUUCUUUACAAAAAUUAAAAAAAAAAAAAAAAAAAAAACUGUACACUGGGUAUAACUAAUAAUGUUUCCAAUCAGUAGACAAAAAGGGCAAGGGUCCAAAUUGAGAUCAAACUAAUAGUCUAAAACCACUCGAUCACACUGGAUAUCAUCAAAUGGGGAAGUGAAGAGUGGUUCAACUUCAAUCCACCCUCCAACUUUACAUUUAGAAUUUUCAAAGGAUAUAAAACGCAGGAAAAGAAAUAUGAUAUCAUUUAAGAUGCCAAAUGAAUAAUUUGACAGAAAUUAGCUUAACCUUACAGUAUUCCAAAAAUUUUGAUAAUAUACAUGAAUCAAACUAGAUUCAACCAAAUUUGAAGACAGACGUAAAAAACCUCGACAAAAAAUGUCAGAUCAAUAUAUAAGAAAUAAUUAGGCAGUAAUGAUACCCGCUAGAACAUCAGUCUUACCUCGUGCAUAAAUUGUGUAAACUAACAGGAUAGCAUCAAGCCACCCAUCUAGGGAUUCCCAUGAGUCUGCAACCUGAAGGGCAGUGCAGACAAUACUCGCUAAAGCUGGAUUGCCAUACAUAUAUAUAUUGCUAAAAUAGCAUCCAAACGACAAACAUUGGCACAUCUAGCAAAUAAUUGUCAAGUUUGCCAACAGCAUGAAAGACGUCAUUCCUUUAUUAAGAUUUGAGACGAAACUUUUAGAAUGAAAAUAUAAAGCAUGAUAUACUUACCAGCAAAACUGGACCCCGAGUUGUAUCAAUGCAGAGGCCUGCACCUGGUGGUAAAGUCAGAUCAGCACAUGCUGAUACAGAAACAAUAUCUGGAAUAUCAACUCUGAUGGCCCUUUUGUCAAUAUUUGCUACAUCUGCAGUUCUGCUAAAGAGGCUUCGGGAAACUUGUUUCCGCUCGACUCUGAUGACCUGCUCAAUUGGAAAAUAGAAGAGAAGGAUAUGGAGAAAAGAAAAUGAAAGUCUGAACAGAUGUGGCCUUUAACUAGUCCAAGAUUAGUGCGACUGCCAAAGCAAUGAAACAGUAAAGCAAUGCAUACAAGGAUAAACUGACAUCGACCAGCAGCAUCAACUGGAGAUAAACCCUAUUCCCACCUCUCUCUCUCUCUCUCUCUCUCAUACACACGGACACACCCUUAGUACGUUGUGUAACAGUUUAUAUUAGUUUUCCUUGUGUAGAUAACAUCCUGGAAUUUAAAAUGAAAGUGACUUACAACAAGCACAUAUUUGCUCAUACUCUAUGAUUCAUUCCAACUUCUCAAGGAAUUUACAAUCACAUAAGUUCAGACAUUUAAAUAUCAAAAUUGGCUUGAAGAAAUGAAUCCCCAUACUCAGGCAAAGAUGAAAAUGAAACUUGAUAUUUAUUUACCAUGGACAAUGAAAAAACCAAUCAGUUUUUUACCUGUUGAAGCACUUCAUGAUUCAAAAAGAACUCUCUUCUCUUCCAAUCACCAUGAGGUGCAAUUGUGUUUCCUACUGUUGGUGCAGUUAGAUACCCAUCUUUAAGAUGGGGUAAAGGUAGCUGUCAAAAAUUUUUUUGUCAGACUUGUAAUAGAAAAUAAUUUUCCCAGCUAAUUCGUUUGAGUAUAAACAGAGUAAUGACUGUGACAACCAUUUGUUUUCUAACCAGUCAGUAGUUCUCUUCACCAGGUGAGCUGCCCGGUUUAAACAUGAAACCAUAAAUGAGAAAAACCAUCUUUCCUAACAGACAGACACACUCAAAAAAGAAGAGGGAGAAAGAAUAGGAAUUGAGUUCCUUGCCAUUAUAUUUUUUAAUAAAAUUAUGUUUAUUAUGAUUUGAACACAAGAUCACUACUGCAAGGAGGUAUUGCUAGGCCAUAUUAACUGAAAGUUUUACAGUUAUGUGAAAUGACUUAUGUUGUGAACAAAAAGAAAUGAACACCGAUGCGAGUAAGGAUUGUCCAAUCAUUGAAAAGGUUUACAUCCAAGCCAAAGGAAUACUAUAAAAAAACAUUGGAUUAGGCAUGCAGUUCAUAGGAAGCAUUUCUCCUACAAUAAUUGUAGUACAAUUAACUGAUCUCAAUUCAGAAUUGUGAGAUCCAUCAAAAUUUUAUGCUGAGCCCAAACUUAUAAAUGGUGGACUCUUACAAAAUUUUAUAUCAUGAUUGGAAAAUUAUAGGAUUAUAGUAAAAGAAUUGUAGGUGAUAUGCUCCUGAAGUGCCUAAGGGGAAGGGCAUUUUAAAUCAAAACAACAGUUUCAGGUGCAGCUCAAAGACUCAGUUACAUUGCAUGAUAAUUGACAGUUAAAAACAGCACUGAUGCAAUGACAUGAAAGAAAUGAGGAAUUCAUGGAUAACACUGAAAAACAUUCAUCCUAUAAUAUUAAAAAAUCCUUGAAAAUUAUAAUUAACCAGGGAAAGCAGCAAGAGAUCAUUCUCAUGGCUAAUAGACUCAACAUUACUUACGGAAUAUUCAAUCAAUUUAGAAAACAAUAAACCUCAAAAAUAUUGUUGAAAGAUAACAUACUAACCAUUGAAUGAACAAGCCUCAAGGCAUUGCUGUAAACCUGUACGUUUUAAAACAUCAAAUAAGAACAUAUCCACAAAACUAAGAUGGGAAGUCAAAUUGCAUAACUUUGAAACUUUAAAUUAAGGAGAAAACGAAGAAGUAUAUCAUUAGUUUUCUUGUAAAAUUUAUGCCGCAAAAUUUCAUUAGCCAAUAAUUAUGCCACCUAUAUAGCCUGAAAGUGAUACUACAUCUAGUCAGUUCCAAGAACACACUUAUUUCUUACAGAGUAAUUUGGUUUCAAUGCACGAGCAGCUGCAAUAUAGAUAGCAGACUGGCUAUAAAGCCCAUUUGGGGAAACUUCUUUUGGAUUUGUUGAGCCUCCAGUUCUUAAGGUAUCCUCAGCUAGUCCAUACUGCAAUUAAAAAUAUAGGUAUUUUAAGUUUUGAAUUUAUGCUUCACUUAAACUUGAAUAAAAUGUUCAGAUAAUGAAGUCAUUAUCUAAUCUCAUUAAUAUCACAAAGAAAUAAAUCAUAGGUGAGAAUAGGAUUAUUCCAUCUAAUAUAAGAACUGGUAAUAACCAACAAUCUUACCAAAACAGUUCCGAGGUUGUAUAUUUCUCGAUGGAAAUCAAACUGCAACUGUAUUGCAGCACGAAACUGCAUCAGAAGCAAAGGAUAUUGUAAGAAUAGAAAAUACAACUAGAAUUAUUCUUUUAGGACAUAUGAGAUGUCAAAUUACUUUGCUGGUUGUUCCUAUAGUCAUCCAAGCACUCUGAUUUCUCCAAAUGACUUUUGUACCUUACUAAUUGCAGUCCUCACAAUUUUUGGCUUCUCUCAUGCUGGAACAAUCGCACUGAGCUCCUAAAGAAUACAUGAUAAGACAUGAAAGUAAGCAAAGCAUUAUAGGAUUCCAUAGAAGAAGACUCAGAAUUUAAUUUGAAAGAAAUGGAGAUAAAUGAAGCUAAUUAUAAUAUCAACAUCACGAAAACAUAGUUUACCUGAAGAGCAAGUCCCCAAUUGUUUAGUGCCUGAAAGAGAUUUAAGAAUACUUAAAAUCACUAACAGGUAGAAUAAAAAUGAAAGAUAGAGUCACUCUAGUUAGCACAAUUACAAGACUAACCAAUUACUUCAAACAUACCUGAGGGCUCUAUAUCAAACCCAUAACAAUAUGAUUAGGCUAUAUCAAACCCAACUUCAAGGUAUUUAUUCACUACAACAAGGCAAUUAUUAGAAAAGGCCAAGGAUUACUACCCAGCAGUACCACAAGGACAAUGCAUUUCUGUAAUAAAUUUUAGAUUGACCAUAUACCAAAAUUCUACAGUCAACCAAUUCCCAUGGUUCUUUGGCCUUAUUCAAAUGGAUUAUAUAACAGCAUGUGGUUAACAUGAAACAGAAAAGGAAAUGCUAUCUUAUCCACACACGGCAAAGGUUUUCCAUGACAAGACACCGAAAUUUUCCAACAAAAAAAGGCUAGUGUUACUCAUACAAACGUCUAUGACUGAAAUACCAAAAUUAUAUAGUCAGAACCUGCUCCCAUAGUUCUUCAGCCUCCUUUGUCUGACCACGCAUUUUUGCUCGAUCAGAUAUUGCUAUUGCCCAGUUGUAGAAAGCCUGUCAAGCUAUAUCAUGAAAUAUAUAUAUAUAUAUAUAUUGUACAGACUCCUUUCUUUGUGUGUAUAUAUAUGCACUCAUACAGCUAUACACUCGUUUCUAUUGUGUAUUCAGUUUCGUAUCUGGAUUCUACAUUCUGCGCAAUCAUCAUGCCUUUUCCAAUUAAACAGAACUUUAAAAAUCAUAAAUUCAAAGUAAUGCAACAGGAUCGUCACAUAAAUGGACAAGCAUGCAUACAUCAUGAAGUGUCGGGCAAAGACGAGUUGCCUCAUCAUACUUGUUACAAGCCUCCUCUAGCAAGGAAUCUUUAGAAGGUGAAGUCGAAUCUGGAUUAACAUUAUCUGCACUUUCCUGCAAGCCAAAUAAGAACAGUGCGGACAUGAUAAGAGCAAUCCAACAUUUUACAAUGAUUACAAUAUGCUUAAGUUGACAAUGUUUUGCAAGGUGUCCUAGCCAAAUAUGAAUAUGAGGACAUGAUAUAUAAUUCUGAAAGAUGUUAAUCAAAAUGAAUCAAUAUCUCAAACCUGAAGAACCAAAGCCCAGUUGUAAAGAGAAUCAUAAUCUUCUGGGUUUCUCUCUAGAGCAGUAGCAUACCUACAAAAUUUGACUGCAAAUCACUACUACGGAAUAGCAGGACUAUGAAACAGUAAUAUGGCAAGCUCAAUACAACAGUAAAGUGUGAAAAGUGAAUAAAAACAAGAUGAUAGUACCUCUUGGCAGCAUAUACAAGAAUCCGUUGGUUAGAUCUGCCCUCCUCAUCAGCACCUGUGACAUUAUUGAUCAACUCCAUCGCAGCAUCAUUUUGGUAGGAAUUUUGUUGCAUGCUUUCUUGACUGGAACAUAUAAAUCACAGGGUAGAAAAUGGUAUUGUUUACAAGCACAAGAAAAACCAGAAAUACAAGCAGGAACAAGAUGAUAUCAUACUUAUUACAACAAGACCAAGAAAGCUUUACAUAAAUGGCAGCACAUGAAAAAGAAAAUAAACUUAACUUACUUCUAUAAAGUGCAAGAUCCCAAAACUUAGGAUUCCUUCAUCCAAGUUAGACAUAGAGCAAGACUACAAUUAACAUCAAACUUGAAAUUCGCAACUGAUUGAAUGAUACAAAUACAGAAAAACAGAUCUGGUUGCAUCAAAAGCUCAAAGAUAACGAAUUUCUAGCAAAAUCCAAGUUCAGGACUAACGGAGGACCAUGAUCUGAGAACAGUUGCUCAUCUGUGCAACUAAUGAAAAUGAACUCCUAAUCUAAUAGGAAGGGCGCGCCUUAAUUGCAUCUAGAGGCUUGCCAAUAGAUAUUCAAGAAACAAAAUUCUUCAGCUUCUCUAUUCAGGAAUCAGGAUAUAAAAAGGAAAAGCGUAAUUUUAUGAUCAGUUAAAACUUGAAUAAUUUUCCAUAUGUAAAUUAAGGAGACAAAUUAACAGAGAAUUCCAAAGAUCCAGAGAUUUCUAAACAAAAUCUUCAUAAAUUCAAUUACAAAUUAAAGAGCGUAAUUUUCUGAUCAAUUGAAAAUCCAAAAGGGAAACAGGAAAAAAAAAAGUUACCUGUGAGGAGAGCCUGCAUCAUCUUCAUCGGUUUUCAAUUCACUUAGCAAUUCUCUCAUCGUGAAAGUCCGGUUGCCUUCAUCUUUUCGCAGCUCCGGACGAGCAAUUUUGUCUGUGGAUGCUGGUUUGGCUCCCUCAUUCGAUUGGAUCGAGCUCUCUUUGUCCUCCUCCGGCUUCGGAUCCGUAUCUGUUACAACCAAUUCCAGUUUCAAUUCCUCCUCCGAUUUCGUUUCCAGCUCUGAUUCCGGCUGUGGUUCCCAUUCGGGUUGAGAUUUUAGUUUGGUUUCCGGUUCAGGUUGUGGUUUUGAUUGUGGUUGGAAUCCAUUUUGAAGUUGCGAUUCCUGAGUGGUUUCUGACAUUGCGUUGAACGAGGGAUUUGCGUGCAACGCCCAAACGGAAUCGAAAAAGAUCUGAAGAGAAGGAAAGACGAAGAGUGAACAGACGAAAGAAAAAAAGUUACUUCAGUCGAAGACGUUACAAGGAGCUGUAAAAUCGGGUCGGUAAACUAAGGAUGACUAAUAAUAUUUAUCGCACGAAUUAAUUUUAUUUAUUAAUUAAAAUAUUUUAAAUUUAAAAAACUAUUAAUUAGAAUUUAUUACUACAAACAAAUUUAAAAAAUUAUAUUAAAAUAUUUGUCAAUAAUUAAACAUCAUUUUAUAAUAAAAAUAUUUAUGUAACCAAGAGAUAAGAAAAUUAUUUUUUAUUCAAAAUAAACUUCUUUGAAAUAUAAUUAAUUCUCAUUUUUAAAUUCAUGUGAUUUCAAAAACAAUAAUUAAUAUAAAAGACCUACUUAAAUUUCAAAAAUAUAUAAAAACUUAUUUAAAUUACCAAACAGUAAAAAAUAAUUUAAAAUUUCUUAAAUUAAAAAAUAAUUAUUGAUUAAGUAAAACUUACUAUCAUUAUCUUCAUGAAAAAUAAUAUUUUGUAGCUUAAUCUUCAUAUUCACAAUUCAUGUUAUUAUUAUUUUUACUUAAAAAAAAUAUGAUAAUAUAAAAGUUAAUAAGAUAACUAUUUACAAAUUUACAAAUCAGAUAAUAAUAAUUAUUAUUCUCUUUACUUUAUUUUUGUUUCUCAUUUUUCAUUUAAUAAAAUAUUAUAAUAAAUAUAACAUUGCAUAUUAAAAACCAGAGAAGUUUUAUAUGUCCAAAAAAUAUAUAAUAAGAUUAAGUACUAACCAAUUAUUUGAAACUUAAAAUAGAAUCUUCACAUAGAAGAAGAUUUUCAUAAAGUUAAACUCAAUAUAUAAUAUAAAAAAUUUAACAAAUGAAAUACAUAUAUAUUAUUUAUAAAUUAUAUAAAACUAAUUUCUUUAUUCAAUAAUUUUUUCUUGGCAUAACAAAAAAAAUAUAUACCUACAAAUUUUGUUUAAGUGUUUAAAAACUGUGAGCUUGAUAAAAAAAUUAAAAUAAUUAGAAAGUGUGAAGCAAAUAGAAAAAAAGUUAAAAAUAAACAAUAAUUUUAAAAACUAAAACUAACUAAAAAAAAUUUUGACAUACUUUAACUUAAUUGUAAUAUUGAUCAACACAUUAAAAAAUAUUAAGAAAUUUGCAUUAAAAAGAGAAUUUGAAUAAAAAUAAUAUAUUUGUAUAAUUAUUAGAUGUGAAAAUACAUACUUCAUAUUUAACCCGUAAUUAAUGUAAGUUCAACAGAAAAAAUACUAAAAGAUUUUGACAGUUCAAAAGAUGUAAUAAUUUAUUUUAAUUUGUUUGAAUUUAAAAAGAAUAUAUCAAAUAUUAAAAGAUUACGAGGAAAUCUAUGAAUAUAUUGAAAUUUUUAAAUUUAAAAGAGAUAUAUGUAUAUUAUUGAAAAAUUUUAGUUUAAAAAAAUAGAUCUAAAUUAUAUUUAAUUUGUAUGCUUUACACAUAAUUAAUUCAAAUAUUUAAAGUAACAUGUAUAAGAAAAAGUCAAAAAGUGAGUAAAACUGGAAUGAUUUAAUCGAAAAAUAUUUAAUAUUUAAAAGUUAGCAUAUGAAUUUUGGCUUUGAUAUAUAUUAAUGAUAAAAGUUAAUUGAGAUUUUUUGUGAUUUAAAUUAAGUUAAAGUUUAUAUAAAAUUGAAAUAUUAGAUAAACUUAAUUUUUAAAAUUUUAAAAUUAUUUGAUAAAUAAUUAAAAUUAAAGAAUUAUCUUAUGUAUAGAUUAUGCAUGUAAGUAGUCAUGCAAAAAUGUUUAUUUGAUCAUAUAUUUAAAACUAUAUGAUGUGUCAUCAAAAUAAAUUGUACACAUAAGAUUACACAUAAGUAAAUCUUAUAAGAUAUUCAUAUAUAUUGUAAUACAAUAUUAUAUCUAUAGAUAAUAUCUAAUCAGAUAAUAAUAUUUAAAUUUUAGUGUUUUAUACAUUUAUCCUCCAAAAAAAAAUAUCUAAUCAGAUAAUUACUUGCUAACUCUAGACUCAAGAAAUUCCAUCAAAGUGACCACACAUGACUUAUUAGAGUUUAAAAAUUAUCUGACACGGAUUUUCUUCUUACGGUUAUUUAGUUGUGUAUUGUGAUUCAUCUACAUAAAUAAAUGAAACAAAUUUAUUGAGUUUAUUUUCUUAUUUGUUUUAAAAUCAUAAUAAAAAAAAUAUUAGCUUAAGUGGUUCUAAUUAAAUUUAGGGUAAAUUACAUAAAUAUACCUGAGAUUUAAUGCAAUUUGAGUUUGCCCCUUAAGGUUUAAAAAGUCACAUGAUCCUGAGUUGUGUAUAUGUGACAUUUCAUUAAUUUUCAUUAAUGUCAUUAACGCUUAAUCAAUAAACCAUAACUUUUUCCUUAAUUUUUUUUUUUCGUAUUGAAACUUUUCAAAGAAAAAUUAGGCUAAAAACAUGAAUUCCUCACAAUGUUCAGCAAGUGGGGGAUCAAAUGUUGAAAAAGUAUAUUAUUAUGGUGUGUGUCGUCAAUUGAUCUUCUCCCCAUUCCUCUUUCUGUCUCUGUUUUAAAAACCCAAAAAUUCCCUAAAAAUUUAAUCGAAACCCAUAGAAAAAAAUCCUUGUUAAUGAGUUAUUGUGGCUAUUAUGUGGAUUUGUGAUUGUUUUUGUGGGUUUAUUGUAUAUGAAUAAUUUAAGGUAGAUUUGGAUUCUAAGAGUUUUUUUUUUUUGUGGAUGCUAGGUUUGUUUCUAGGUUUCUCAAAUCAUUUUUUGUUGUCCUUGAGUUUUCUGUGGCUACCAAAUAAAAAUUGAUUGUUUGUUUGAUGCUUGAUACAAUUCUUAAUAGUAAAAAUUUCAUUCCUAAAAAGAUAUAAAACUUAAAAUUUGCAUACAAAUGGAUAAGUAAAAAAAUUGAAAAUCUCAAUCAAGAAUAAUCAACACAACCAAAGAAUACCAUACAUCCAAUAGCAAAAUCAAAAUUUUGUAUCUUGGUUUGAGAUUACUUUUUUGGGUUUGUGAAAAACAGUUUUUCAGUGGUUUUGGAUUUAGUUGUUUAGAAAGAGAAUUCAUUUGAUUUUAGAAAAAGAAUGAAUUGUAGAUAGAGAAGAUGAAUUAAAAAUGAAGAAGAUAAAAAAUGAAAAAAAUAACAAUUUUGGGUAAAUAUACAUAAAACAACAUUUUAAACUUCAUGGGGUAAAUUCAAAUCGCGUUAAACCUUAAGGUAUAUUUAUGUAAUUUACCCUUAAAUUUAUUAUGAAUUGAGAAAUAGAACAAAAAAGUUACAGUUGAUUUGAAAACAAAAAAAUCUUACCUCAUGAAGUGAAUAGUAUGCUUAGUAAAAUAGUACUUAUCAUCAUAAAAAACAUGUUAGUUGUCAUAGCAAGAAUAGACUAAUAAAAGAAAGAUUAAAUUAAUAGUAAAGAAAAUACAUUUAGGUUAUAUGCUUCCUAUGGCAUUGAAAAAUCUAUAUAACUAAAAACUAACAACAAUGAGAGCUUUCUUGAAGUUGUUCUGGUAUUUAUAUAUUUUUUCAUAUUUUUUUAUAAUAUUAAUAUUAAAAGUCUAUGAUAAAUAUUGAUUUAAAUUUAAAAUUUAUUUUAAUUAAGAUAUAUCUAAAUCUAUUAUUUUAAAAUUGAUUGAUUGUUAUUAAAAUUAUCUUUGUUUAUAACUAAUAUAUUUAAAAAUUGAAGAUAAUAUAAGCAUUAUUUAUAAAAAAUAUUAAAGAUAUUAAAUAAUAUUUUUAAAAGUUUUGAUAAAUUUAAAUAAUCAUGUUAAGUGCAAAUAAAUUAGAAAAGAUAAAUUAUUUUAAAAUUGAUUUUAAAUUGAGAUGAGGUGAUAAACAAGAGAAAAGAAUUUCAUUAGAAUUUACAUUAGUUUUUGAUUAAAUUUUAAAAUUUUAGAUAAUUUGAUAAUUUUUAAAAUAUAUAUUUUUUAUAAAUAAUUUAAAAUUAAUAAAUAUCUUAAGUGUCAUUAUAAUGAAAAAUUUACCAUAAUGAAAAAUUUUAGAAAUUAUUUUAAAUGUUGAAAAAAGAAACUGUUCACGUAAGUAUUAAUGUCAGCGAAUACUAUAUGGUAAUUUUGUAUAUUGUAAUAAAAUAUAUAUAUAUACUAUAUUAUAACCCGUGCGAUAUAUGGAAUAAUUUUAUUUAUUUAAUAUGAAUAUGUGUAUAUAUAUAAAUUAUUUUUUUUCAAAAUUAUAUAUAUACAAAUUAAUUUCUUUUUAAAAUUAUAUUCAAAUCUUUAAAACUCAUACCAUAUAUAAAAUUUAUAUAUAUUGACUUGUCAUUAAAAAUAAACUUGCUAAAAACAAUAAGAAAAAAAAUUAUGUCUUUCCUUUGGAUAUUUUUGUUUAAAAUUAUAUUUAGACACUUAUAAGAUUAUAUCAAAUAAAAAUAAAUUAUGCUUUUCUUUAAAAAAUAAAAAUAUAUAUUAUUAAAUGAUAAAUUAAAUAAUAAGAGAAAUAUUAACAUACUUUCACUUUAAUAAUCUUGACUAAAUUAUUAUGCAAAAUAUGAAAAAUGUUAAAAAAUAAGUGAAAAAAGAAAAACUAAAUUGAAAAAAAUAUUAUUUUUAAUAAGAAUGAAACUGUAAUAACAAUAAAAUAUAUUUUGAAAAAAAUUGUAGACAAAAAAAAUACAAAUUGCAACAGUAAUAGAAUAUACUUUGAAAAAAAAUUAUUGAAAAAAAAAUUGAUGUAUAUCACAUUACAUUUGUAAUAUUAAAUUUGUAAACGAAUUCUUUAGUAACAAUUAUGAUUAAAUAAAUAAUUUUAAUUAAUUUUUUAAAAUUUAAAAUGGAUAAUAAUAAGUAAUAAAGAUAAUAUUAAAAUUUUCGCAUUUAUUUGAAAUAUAAAUUUGAUACUUAGAGUUCAAAUGGAUAUAAUAAUUUUGAUGGUCUUAUUAUUUAAAAAUUUAAGAUGAAAAUUUUUUAAAUUUUCAAAAUCUUAUAUAAAAUUGUUUGAAUUUUUAAUAUUUUACGUAAAUUUUUUAAAAAGAUAAUUUUUAAAUCAAGAUAAAAAAAGAUUAUUGAAAGAUUUAGAUAAAUUUAAUCUUUGUAAUUUUAAAAUAUAUUUGAAAGAUUUUGAUAAUUAAAUAAUUUUUAAAUAAAAUGAUUUGAUAAACAACGAAAAUUAUUUAUUAAAAUAUAAAAUCCAUAUUUCAUAUUUUUAAUUUUAAAAAAUAUAUCUCUAAAUUGAUUUGAUUUUCAAUUAUAAUUUGAAUAAUUUUGAUAUUUGAAUAAAUUUAAAAAUAUAAAAAUUGUAAUUAAAAAAAUUAUCUUAUUUUUUUAAAAAACUAUCUUAUGUUUCAUUUAAGAGAGUUGUCCACGUAGAUGACCAUGUGACGAACUUGUUUAUGUAUAUUGUUAAUAUAUAUAUAUAUAUAUAUACAUAUUAGAUAUGAUAUAUGAUAUAUAUGAUAUCUUAUUAAAAAGAUUAAAUAAAAAAACACAUCGAUUGUCACAUUAAUAUUAAAAGAAAUAUUUUAAAAAUUUUAAAAAUAUAAAAUAUAAUAUUUUUAAAAAUUAAAAUAUAUAAAAUAUUUUUAAAAAUUAAAAAAGUAUGAAAACUUAAAAAAUUCAAAAAACUCAAAAUUUUAAUAAAAUUUUUGAAAAAUUCAAAAAAUAAAAAUAAAAAUAAAAUUUCUUAAAAUUUUAAAAAAAUUCACAAAAGUUGAAAAAAAUGAAAAUAAAAAAAUUUUAAAAUUUUUUGAAUAUUUUCAAAAAUGACAAAAAUUAAAAUUUUUAACAAACAUAUAAAAUUCUUAAAAAAUUCAUAACCAUUUAAAAAAAUUCAAAAAAAUAAAAAAUUUUCAAAAAUCUGAAAUAUUCUUAAAAAAUUAUAAAAAAUUAAAAAAGAUUCUGAAAAAUAAAAAAACUUAAAAAUUUAAUAAUAAUCUAAAAAAUUUAAAAUUGUAUGAUUCAAAACAAAUUUCGUAAUUUUCAAAAAUUGUUUACAAUUUUUUUUGAAAUUUUUAGAUAUUUUUAAAAAAAUUUAAAAUUUAAAAUUAAUUUUUUUUUAGAUUUUUGUGAAUUUUUUAAAUUUUAAGAAAAUUUUAAGAAUUUUUAUUUAAAUUUUAAGAUUUUUUGAAAAAUUUUAAAUUAUCAUAAGUUUUUAAUUUUUCUAAAUAUUUCAAUUUUUAAUUUUUAAAAAUAUUUAAAAUACUUAAAAUUUUGUUUUAAAUUUUGUAAAAUUUUAAAAAUUUAUUUGAUAUUGAUGUGAUAAUAAAUAAUGUGACAAUGAUUGAAUUCUUUUAACAUAUAUUAAUAUUUUAUUAAAUAUUCAUAAUGUAUCAACAAAUUAAUAAAUAACAUUAACAUCAAAUAUCAAAAUAAACAACAAAAUCAAAAUCAAAAUCAAAACCAUAAAAUUUUAUUUCUUUACAUACUAUUCUCACAAAAAUAUCUAUAAUCCAAGCGCCAUUUUUUUAUUUAACCCAAUUCAGACUCCAAACAAAAUCAGAAACCCAUACUGAAAAUCGACGAACUUCAUCAACCCCCUCCUUCCAAGGUUUAUAUUAAAAAAAAAAGCCUGAAUUGAAAAAAAACAAAAAAUUGCAGAAAGCACAAAACUUUAUAACCAUAUAUGAAAAAAAAGUAACCACUACACAUACAGAGAGAAAGAGAGUGUUACCUGGAUGAAGACAUAGAAGAUCAAAAGAACCGAAGCCAAGGUUUUGUUUGCACAUCACAUGCACAGGUAAAGAGAAGACUGAAAAUGGGAGAAAAUAUCAUGUGAUUAUCAUGUAUAUAUACAACGCCUGCUGCUUUUGCCACCGCCAUCGCAGAUACAAACUCCACUUUCCUCCCCUUUUCUUGUCAAAAAUGUUUCAGAAGAGGAAAAAAAAAUCAGAUCCGGCAGCUUCUUUUCUUCCACAACCAUUCUCUCUCCUUUUUUUUUUUAUACUCUUCUUCUCUUUUUGUCAUUGAGCACCUUCCCCGUUUUAGAGCUCUCUCUCCUCUCCUUUUCAUCAAAACGGUGAACGUUGCUUCAUCUAAACAAAAAAGAGAAGCCAAUCAUUGUGAGACGCGUGGCACGGAAGUAUAAGAAAAUGACGUUGUUUAGACACUGACAAAUAAAAGCACACGGUUCUGAUUCUGUCUUCCGUGGAAUGUUCUUUACUUUGCCCUUUCGAACAUCCUCUCCUUGUCCUCAAAGCCAAUGGCCCAACUCUCUUUGGGCUCCACAGUUUCUAUCUCUCGUUCUCGCCACAUCCGUCCUCCAGUCACCGCCCGCCACGUCAACAUCAGCACGACAACCACAAAACUAACAAUGCCCAAUCACCACCCAUCCCUGGAGGUCAUAGGCGGCGGACGUGAUCGCUUCCUCCAAGCUCUCCACACCACCCUCCGCCAGCCCUACAAUCCUUUCCCCCUCAUCACCUGGAAUCGCCACGUCGAGACCAUCUUCGCCUCCUUCUUCCGCUCCGUUCCCCAAGUCAGACUACGCCGAGAGUGCCUCCAAGUCAAAGAUGGCGGCUACGUCGCCCUCGACUGGGUCUCCGGCGACGACCGCCGUCUUCCUUCCGAUUCUCCCAUCCUAAUUUUACUGGUAACAUAAAAUCAACCAUCUUUUAGAAAAUAGUGUUAUAAAUAAAUUGUGUUAAUCCAAGAAACUUUGACUUCUUUUUAGCCGGGUUUGACUGGAGGAAGCCAGGAUUCAUAUGUAAGACAUAUGUUAACUAAAGCAAAAUGUAAAGGGUGGCGCGUUGUGGUUUUCAAUAGCCGAGGUUGUGGAGGUAGUCCAGUUACCACUCCCCAGGUAAUAAUAAUCCUUUCCUUUGUUUUCACUUUUUGCUGUUUCAUUUUUAAUUUUUUUAAUAAGAAAAGUUUUCGGAGAUUGGAUUUUUUAAAAAUUGUUUUAAAGAAAGAGAAUGUUGAUUUGAUUAUUAGAAUGACAUUGAUAUAUUAUAUAUGCAGUUUUACUCAGCUUCGUUUCUAGGAGACACGCGUGAAGUAGUGAAACAUGUCGGCGCUAGAUACCCGGAAGCUAAUUUGUAUGCUGUUGGUUGGUCUCUUGGUGCAAAUAUUCUUGUUCGAUAUCUUGGUCAGGUAAGACAGCAGCAUAACUGUGCAUAUUUGUUUCUUUUUUUUUUUUUUUUUAAUUUAUGAUGGAACUUUUUGCUUUAGUUGGUUGGUUUUGAUGUCAUUAGUAGAAAUGUGUUUGUUUAUUUGUUACGAGAAACUUCUAUUUUCUUCUUUUUACGAAGUUGUUAUUGGCAUUGUUCACUAAUUAUCUUCUUUUUUUUUUUUCUGAUUUCACGUAUUUGUAUUUUAUUGGGGCAGCUGCACUCCUCUGAAGAAUUUUCAUCUGUCAAGUUUAUUCAUUUCAUUGAUUUAAGAAAAGAUUUUUACAACUUGAGAUAGGGGAAAAGGUCUUGAUGAUUCUUGAUUGAGCACUUCAUUAUAACUUUGAAUGGAAUCCAUUUGGAAAUUCCAACUUUUCAAUCAGGGUAAAGUAUUGUAGGGAUAGAUUGCAGUCAGUUUACCCUAAUGUUUGGUAUGUAGAGGUUGACACUAAAAUAUGCCUUGAGUAGUUGUUUUUAAUCUGAUUUUGCUGCCGGCCUGCUCUAAGUUCACUGCUUUGGAGGAAAAAAAUUUUGUACUUUUUAUAUUUAAUGUUAGAUCUUUUUUUUUUGGUUCCAGUUCUGCUUCCUUUUCUCCAUUUUAUCACAGCAAUGUGUCCAUUUCAUCUGUCCUUUGACUGCAUUCCACUUGCAGGAAUCUCAUACUUGCCCCCUUUCUGGUGCUGUGUCAUUGUGUAAUCCUUUCAAUUUGGUCAUUGCUGAUGAGGACUUCCACAAGGGCUUUAACAAUGUUUAUGAUAAAGCUCUUGCUAGAGCCCUCUGUAAAAUAUUCCAGAAGUAAUCCUCUUAUAAGAUGCUUUUAGUUGAGCACCACUUUUAACAACGUGGUAUCCCAGUAUUCAGAAUUUCAUUUGAAUCUCUUGUGUUCUACAGGCAUGCUCUCCUAUUUGAAGAUAUGGAGGGUGAAUUUAAUAUUCGCUUAGCUGCUAAUGCCAAAUCUGUCAGGGACUUCGAUGAAGGAUUAACACGGGGCAUGCUCUUAACUAUGAUAUUCAUUUUGAAAAGAGAAGGGGGCAAGAUUGGGGUUGGGAGGUAGGGUCCAUAAUGAAACAUUAUUUGCUUAUAAAUCUUUCUACGUUGCCUUGCAGUUUCGUUUGGUUUCAAGUCAGCGGAUGAGUACUACUUUAAUUCAAGCAGUUCUGAUUCCAUAAAACAUGUUCAAAGACCGUUGCUCUGCAUCCAGGUGACAUAUUUGUGCCAAUUUUGAAAAUACGUUUCCUGAAUUUCUUAGUUACUAUUAUAUUGUUCAAUAUCAUCUUUAUGAUGUUGCUAUCUUAUAUGACAUACAUUAAACUUUGACUCUCAGCAUCAGCAGAUUCUUUUACUAAAAGAAAAGAAAAUUGACUCUCAGCAUCAGCAGAUUGUUUUACUAAAAGAAAAGAAAAUUAUCAAAUUUUCUUAGUUUUAUUUGUUUCCUGUUUAGUCCAUUCCACUUUUCUGCUAAUAGAGGAAGCAACAUUAUUGUGAGAAAUCUUUUACAACAUUCAAUUGAAGUCCAGUGAAGGACUAAUCUUUCGGGUAAACAUUAGGGAUUGGGGUGUUAUCUUUCAUUUUAUUCCUAAUACCUUUACUGAAAUUGACUCUUCUUACAAUGUGUAAUCUCAAAUUUUUUGCAUAAUCUAGAAGAUUGGAUGUCUUUAGUCAUCUGUUCAUAUUCUCAAGUCCAGAGCUUGCUGUUUGAAGAAGCUAUGAGAGUGAAAGCAGCUUAACUGAAUUGUGAGAGCUGAAUUUCAUAGCUCUAGUACAUGUUAUUUUGAUUCUUCACUUCUUGCAGUAGUCUUUGGUCCUUGUUACAUGAAUUUUGUGUGUAACACUUGUUUUUAAGCAUUGGAUUUGCAUGGCUAGCUUCAAUGUUCCAAUAUUGUAUAGCUCAUCUUUUAGUUAGGAGUUUCAUUCUUUUGGGGUUUCGAAGGUAUGUUUGAAAUGGAAAUUAAAUUCAACUUGUGUUUAAAAAUGUGCUAUUGCAGGCUGCAAAUGAUCCAAUUGCACCCUCUAGGGCAAUUCCUCGAGAAGAUAUCAAGGUAUGUUGAUUGCUUUCUAAUUUAUUGAGCUAUUGUUUUUUAUUUGAUUUUAAAUCAUUGUAAAUCCUCAAAGACAACAUGCAAAUAGCUUUCUAACUUGAUAAUAAACCAAAACUGCUUCUGUGUUAUUUAAGCAUUCUCGUUGACUGGACUACACCUGUAGACACAAGCCUACCUUUAUUAUAGCAUGGGUGAUUCUCACCAUAUAUGGCUGACAGAAAUACUCCUAUAUCCAUUCGAAGUCUUUUCUUCCAGCUCUCAUCUACAUUCUUUUAUCAAACUUUCAUUCUAAGAUAAUAUAAGGCCAGGGAUUUUUCCUUUGAACAAAACUCAACAUAAUUUAUCACAUCCCUUUUUACCACAUCCUAUUCAUCAGGCAUGAAUCUAGUUAUUCUCUUUCUCUUCAAAUAUUCGUUGCUAUGGGACAUUACACAAGUAGAUUUUGAAGUAUCAUGAUAUUUUUUCUAAUUUUGAGAAAUAGUUACAAGGUUCUCUCAUUUUUCCUGAGACUUUUAGCAGAACAUCCCAAAUAUUUCUUGGCAAUGGAAUGAACAUCCAUAACUAAAAGAAGUUCAAGAUUCUGCUGCUAUUAAAUUUGUUUCUAGGAACAUACAUAUGCGCUGUGUGUCAUUUUCAAUGAAUAAUUACUAGAGGUUAGUGUGUUUGUUAAUAACUAAUAAUUUGGCAAAUGUGAGCUUCCAAAAGACUAGAAGAGAUAAAAUAAAAAAUGAAGAGAUUCGAGAAAAAUUAAGGGUAGUCCAAAUUGAAGAGACGAUGAGAAAGGGAUGUUUGCGAUAGUUUGGACAUGUAAAACGUAGGCUUAGCUGCGCACCGGUUAGGAGAAUUGAGUCUCUAGAUCUAUGAGAGAUCAAAACAUCUAGAGGUAGACCAUGAAAGAUAUAGAUGCAAGUAAUAAAAAACGAUAUGAUAGUUAAAGAAUUAGAUGAAAAUGUGGUUGUUGAUAGAAAUGAGUGGCACAAGAGGAUUCAAACCACAACCUAAUUUGAUUUUUUAUUUGGUUUUUCAUACAGCCGACCUCAGAAUAUGGGAUAUAAGUCUUAGUGUGUUGUUGUUGUUGUUGUUGAGCUUCCAAAAUCUCUUAUGGUUCGUACUGAAAUCUGUAUGCGGUCAACGUAGCCAGUUAGUGAUACAGAAAAAUGUUGAAAUGUUUUGCCCCUUCCAAGAUAUUGACAUCUGGUAGUUGCUCUAUUCUCUUCAAAAUUCUAACAGUACAUUUUGAGAAUAUCAAGUUUAUAAUAUAUCUGCUGAUCAGACAAUGUAAAUCCGGGAGCUAUGUAUCAUUAAAUAAGAGUGAAAUUCUUUCAAUUCAGAAUAUUGUUUUGAACAGCUUUCCUCAGCUCUUUGGAUCAGUGGGAAUAUAUUUUAAAUUUGACCACAUGACAUCAGAUAUGCGCAAAUUAAUUUAAGCUACUGUUGUUGUCAUCUAUCAUUUUGGCUGCAUGGAAAGAAUGUAAUCCUGUGAAAAUAAUGUUCUUCUUCGUUUUAAAUUGCUGUAUCUAAUAAAAGAUUAUGCUUGCUCUCUCAGGAAAAUCCAAACUGCAUGUUGAUAGUGACACCUAAAGGUGGGCAUUUAGGGUGGGUUGCGGGUGCUGAGGCUCCUCUAGGAGCUUCUUGGACUGACCCUGUGGUAAUGGAUUUUCUCGAGCAUUUGGAAAGAAAUGCAUCCAAAACUGCUAGAUUUUCUUGUGACUCAGAAGCUGUGCAGCAUAGUUCAGAAGGCUUGCAUCACGUGGAAGCAUAGCUGGUAAAUUAUUUGCAAAUUCAUCUGUGCUUGAUCUGCCAUAUUAUUCGGUAUUACUAAUUUGAUUGUAACAUUAAGUUCAAUGUAGCAUAGCCAAUUCUUUAUUUUCAUGCUACUGUAGCUGCUGCAUCACAGCUGAAAAUCGAAUCCCAUUUUUAUGAUGACCUGAUGAUGCUUGAUGCUUGAUACUUGAUAGGUGCAAUUAAUUUUUUGAGGAACUAAAUAAUGAAGUUUCUCAAUUCGCCGGAUCAUCUUUUUCUGCAUUUGCUUAAUUUGUUGCUUUUGUCCUGAUAUUGCUUUUAUGUGCAAUGUUAACAAUGUCACCGUACCAUCCAGAAGAGCAGAAAAUGAUCUAGCAGGUUGCUAUGCAUCGCAUCCUGGAAGAGAAGGUAGAUAUCAAAGUCCGGUUUCGUGAUGUGCUUGAUUACCCUAUCGACAACCUUUUCCUGUCCAGGUUGAAUAUCCAUAAGAAAUGUGGAAAUUCCCAUUGCAAAAACAGAAUCUUAUAUCCUUUUUAUAUAAAGGAAAAUUGACCCCUCGUGGAUGUUUUAUCUCUUCACACCAACUGCCAUUUUCAUCACCAGAGCAUGAAUAUUCAUGAAUUCCAAGCAUAAAAAAAAGUUGAUUCCUUAUCUUUUUUGAAAUGGAGUUGAUAAAAUUUCUGUUAAAAUCAUUAUUCACUUCCAAUUAGGAGAUUAGACUAUGACGAACUGGAUUUAAUAAGCUUAACUGACCUGACAUUCUGACUCAUCUCCAUCUGAUUUACUAUGUAUUUUUUUUUUUUUGGCUAUAAUAGUCAAAUCGAAAUUGAUUUGCUAACGAAUAGUCUUGGGAAGCGACUGUGUCUUGACCGGGGUGAUUUUGCAAAAGUUCAAAGUUGAUAUUGAUUACCUAUAAGGGGUUCGGGUUCGUUAAAUUAAUUAUUGACAAAAAAAAUUUAGGUUUGAAUUUUAUCGAUGAUUAUUUAUUAAAAUUAUUUUAAAUGUAUAAUAAUAAUUUAUUUUAAAUUAUUAAAUAUGAUAUAUUUUAUUUUAAUUUAAAAAAUUAAAUAAUUUAUCGAUUAAAAUUUUUUUUUUACAAAAAAAACAAAUUGAUAUUGAUUAUUGAGUAUGAAAUUGGACGUUUUGGAAGUCAAUUUCACACUUGUAUUAGUCUAACCAAAAACGUGUCUACCAAGUUAAAAGAAGCAUGGAAAUUUUGACUCAAGGAAUGGAUGUUUGUGUAUGAAACUUCCAAAGCAUCUAAAAAUAUAUGAAGAAUUGUCAUUAAUUAUUGUUCGGGGACCAGACUAUUUCCAAAUACCAAGGUAGGAAGGACAUAUAACUUUAUAUUUUUAAUCACAAACGUGUUUUAUUUCUUUUGAAAAAAAAAAAAAUCAAACAUGACAUUUAUACAUUAUUUAUAUCAUUGAAUAACAUUGAUGCUCUUUCCGGUUGGGUGAUUGAGAUGCUUGCCGGCUGUUGAAAGCUGGGUGGCUGAUCUGGCCAGUUACAGAGAAAAAGAUAGGGGUAUUAUAGGUUUCACGCGGGGUGCAUUUCGACCCUAAAUCAAUAAAGUAUACAAGGGAAGGAAGGGAGAGUCAAACAGAGAGAGAGAGAGAGAUGGAAAGGCUUGAGGAAAGUAGAGAGUGUGAAAUUGAGAAUCCAAUCUCUCUUUAAUUCAAUUUUACUUUUUAUAUUUUACGGAUAAUAAUGUGACAGUUAAAGAUGUUGCUGACGUGACAAUCAACAGUAGGCAUAACAAUUUAAAUAUUUAAAUAUUAUUCUAAUUAAAAAAUUAUAUCAAUAAAUUAAAGAGGAAAACUGUUUGAAUAAUAUGAUUGACAAGGUUUCAAUGAAAAAGAAGAAAAAUAUUGAAAUUAACUUCUACGAGCUUAUCACCAGAUAUGAUUAUAGCUUUUGAAGUCCAAGGGACGGAACCAUGUUUUUGUUUGUGUCCGUCUGAGCUUAUAUAGGAGGAUGGAGAUCUACGGAGACACCAACAUGUCUGGCACAAUGCAAAAUUUAUAAAACCUAAGAACAGAUCAUGGAUGGAGGUCUGGGCCUACUCAUGUCCCUUCGAAGAUGAUAUCAAUGCAUGUUUUCAGUUAUUAGGGUUUGGAAAAAUAUGAAAAAGUAAAAUGUUCAUAGCAUUAUAACCCAUUAUUUGAUGCGUAGUUUUUUUUUUUUUGCCAAUCUACUUUACUAUUUAUCAUGACAAAUGGUCUAAUUUGAAGAAGUUGGUUUCCCAAUUUUCCAUAUAUUAUAUAUGGAACUCAUGAGUCUUUGAUCAUAUUAAAAAAACAUAAUAACAAAAUAAAAUCAAGAAAAUAAAAAAAGCUGAAGAAAACAGUGAGCCUAUAUCCAACGAAAGACACCAAGUGGCUGGGUCCCUAAUCCUCCGAUCUGCUGCAUCUAGAGCUAGACGUUAGCCUUAGUGGCUUUAUGCAAUUGUCUCGUUUCUUUUGCCAAUUUGCUGCAGCCCAUCGACGCACACAUCUCUGUAUCUCUCCUACGAUCCAAUUAUAAUUUUUCCAAAAUUAUACUAUUAUUAUAACUCAUCUUUAAAACGUUCUCUUUCUUAUAUAUUUCCAUCUACUAUCUUGACUUAGUCGUUUUUUGGCAUUUGCAUUGCCUAAUUUAAUUUAAUAUACUUCAAGAAUUCAGGUUGGUUAUACGUAUAGUCGGAAAAUGAGGGGGAAAUUACUCACAUGAAUCUUUUAUUACUUGAAAUUGCAAUUUUUAUAUCUCUUUUUUUUGGAUAUUUUAUUUAUCACCAUCACUAUUCAUACACAUUAGCGUGUGGAAUUAGAGGGAAAACUUUAGUAUCAUACCUUUUUUGACCAUGCAAAGCACUUGUUAGGUAGUUAAUUUUAUAUAUAUCAGUUGCAUUUGCAACUUUAUCUUCUUUCUUUCUUUGUUUAUUUACUUUGUACAUUUAUAUAUUUUAAAUUAACCAUGAAAAUAUAUAUCGAAGCUAAUUACAAUAUUAUUUCUUUGACAGAAAUUAAGUUGCAUCAUGCAUGAUUCAUGUGCCCAAAGUAUGAACCAAAAAAAAAGAAAGAAAUGAUUCUUCUGCUCAGCAUACUUCAUAUAAUAUUAAUUAAGCUCUAAGCCUUUAACUGAUGAGGAUUUCAGUAUGUGAGUCAUCCAUGUGAAAGCCUUAUUAAGAUUGUUUUAUAAUAGCAUAUAUAUAAUUAUAUAUAUAUUGUUAGAAAAUUUAAGACAACAAAAAUAAUAAGAAAGAAAAAAAUAUGGUUUUGAGACGUAAAAAACAUUAUCUUAAAGACAACUAUGCUUAUAGAAUAUGAUAAAAUUUUUAAAACCCUCUAAAUCAGAAGUAGUAAAAUUGGUCAAGCAGAAAAAUUUAUUUAUAACAAAUAAACAGUCACCAAUCAAACUAAUUCAAAAAAUCAUGACAUUUUAUAUAAUCAUGUUUUAUUGUUUAAACAAACUUUAUUUGAAUAGUUAUAUUUUUCUGUUCAGACAUAUUUAUUUGGACUAUUAUAUUUUUCUCUGUUCAAACAUGUUUAUUUAAAAUUAAUAAUAUUUUGAAAUAAAAAAAUUAUCCAAAGUGACUAUCUUUAACUUUUAAAAUUGUCUGACUUACUAGAAAAACUCAUAACAAUCCAAAAUAACUUUGCCCACUCUAAUAUUUAACUCAAUUACUUAAGUAAUAUAAAGAAUCUCUUUUAAAUCAUAUAUAAAUGAUCUUUCUACUCAAUGUGAGAUAUAUCAUAUUUUAAAUUACCAACAUAUAUAUAUCACCAAAUCUUAUUUUUAAUUGAAUGGAUUUAUGAAGAAUAAAAUUCUAAAAUUAAGUCAUAAAUGAAAAAUAAUUGUUAUUUAUGAAAUAACAUAAUUAUUUUGUGAAAAAAAAUUCAAUCAUAUAUUUAAAUAUUUCUUUUGUUAAAAAAAAAAAAAAACCCUACAAAACCAUUAUAAGCAGAUCUGUAAAUAAUUAAUAAUAUGAUAUUCUAAUUUGAAUAUACCGAUUUCGAAUUAUAUAAGAGGGAUAGAAUUCGUAGAAUAAGACUAGUAGUUGAUUCAUAUGGUCAGCAAGGUAUUAAUUUCGACUGAUAAGAAAAAAUAUUUAGGUAACGCCACGUCAGAUAAUCUUUUUAUAUUUCCUUUAAUACUCUCUCUUGCAAAAUCUAAAAGUCCACCAUUUUCGCUCAGUUCUUUGCUUAUAUAUAGCUUCCUAACCCUAUAUCUCUUCACCUAUCCGCUCUUUAAUUCCUUCUCUUGCAAAGAUUCCUGGGAGAUUUGUUCAUUCUUGAUCCCGUUCCCUUCAGAAUUAAUUAUGGCAGAAUCCCAAAGUCGUAGCUUUGGUUUUGCAGGGAAGAAGAGAGCAUCAGGGGCUGAUGGAUUUGAGGGGAAUGAUCUUUUCAUGGCCAAGAAAUCAAUGUUACCAACACUAGCACCAGCAUGGGAAAAUGACCCUGCCGCUGCAUUAGCCAGCGCGCGCCAUGAAUUCGGUGAGUAUGGUGGCGUUAACAUGUCCAUUGAAGCCUCCGCCACCUUUACUGUCAUGGAACCUGAGACCAUGCGUCGCAUGUUCGCUGGUGAACUCGGCCCUGAUCGUGAUUUCUUCAUUUAUAGUCGUCAUUUCAACCCCACCGUCUUAAAUCUCGGUCGUCAGAUGGCAGCCAUGGAAGGAACCGAAGCUGCCUAUUGCACUGCUAGCGGUAAAUAAUUUUUAUGUUUAACUUUCACCUUUCAUUUUACACGCAAAAAUCUAAAACAUAUUAUUAUCAAAACCAACAAUUUGUGGUAAUAUAUAAUCUGAUUUCGUGAUGACAGGUAUGUCUGCUAUAUCAUCCGUUCUGUUGCAACUCAGUAGUAGCGACGGACACGUGGUGGCAUCGAGGACUCUCUACGGCGGGACCCAUGCACUUCUAACUCAUUUCUUGCCCAGAGCCUGCAACAUCACGACCACGUUCGUGGACAUAUGCGAUCACGAAGCCGUAAAAAAUGCCAUCCUCAAAGGACGGACCAAAGUUUUGUUCUUCGAGUCCAUGUCGAACCCCACACUCACCGUAGCCAACAUUCCGGAGCUAAGCAGGCUAGCACACGACAAAGAAACCAUGGUGGUUGUAGACAACACCUUCGCUCCCAUGGUUCUUUCCCCUGCUCGGCUUGGUGCUGAUGUGGUUGUCCAUAGUAUCUCCAAGUUCAUCAGCGGUGGAGGCGAUGUUAUUGCAGGUUUGUUUGUCGUAUGUUUCUCAUUUACGGUACACGCGUCUGACAUAUCAUCUCAUUGUUUUACGUCGGAAAAAGAGCCAUCAGUGACGUUUUAUCCUUUGAUUAAUUAAGUUAAAUAGUGGUAUCUAGGAAAUUGUUUUCAGAGUUUUGAUGAAAACUGCAUGCCUUCUUUAAAAAAAAAAAAGAGGAGAGAACAGAAAAUACUAUGAAUUGAGGAUUCAUAAUCGUAAAAUAAAAUGAGAAAAAAUAUGGUCUUCCGCAUUCCAAAAGUUCGGAUUCAUGAAAGGCAAACGAAUAGAUAUCUGGUAUGAAAAUAAAAACUCUAUAAAUAAUGGAUCGAAAAAAUGUUUUAGGCUAGUGGGGGAACAUGUUCUCGUGAAUGAUGAUAUAAGGAAUAGUUAAACUUUUAUUGGCCUAGUGUUAAAAAGAAAGCUUAACAAGACAUGUAAGAUAGAAGUUCGAACUUAUCAUCCCAAUUCUCCGAUCCUUUGGAUAAAAAAACUUUAAAAAAUAGUUAAGUUUGGUUUUCUAACUAUCUUUUUUAUGGCUGAUAAGGAUACUCUCCGGCAAUUUCACUAAUUUUUCAAAUUUUCACUGAUAAUAUCAUCAUCAUGGAUUUGAGGUGUGCAUUCCGAUCCUCCUUUGCCUCUUAUGGAUAAGCUUUCAUGUGAUGGGUUCUGUCUUUUUUAUUUUUGCGAUAAAUUCUGUCUACAAACUUAAAAUUUCAGGGCCUUAAAAUUGACAUUUUCUAGUUGAAAAGUAAAAGUGUCUCUUUUACAAAUUCUUUUAAUAAUCGUUUGCCCUAAUGUUAUUAGUAGCUAACUUCUAGGCAAAACAAACUUGCCAAAACCAUUAGUUCUUGUGAAAUAUAAAAUCUUUUUUUUAGUACCGUUUCAGUUUCUUGUAUUGGAAUAUAGUAACUAUCAUUGUCAGAAUUGUAGGCAGUAUUUUGUUAAUCCAAUAAAAUGGCAACUUUCAGGUGCUGUUUGUGGUCCAGGAAGGCUGGUGAACUCCAUGAUGGACCUUCAUCAAGGUGCUUUGAUGCUCCUAGGCCCGACCAUGAACGCCAAGGUUGCCUUCGAACUCUCUGAAAGGAUCCCUCACUUGGGCCUACGAAUGAAGGAGCACAGUCGCAGAGCCAUGGAUUAUGCCGCUAGAAUGAAGAAAUUGGGAUUCAGGGUGAUCUACCCGGGCCUUGAGGAUCACCCUCAACACGAGCUGUUGAAGUCCAUGGCCAACAAGGAAUAUGGGUUUGGUGGUCUUCUUUGUGUUGACAUGGAAUCUGAAGAAAGAGCUAACGGGCUGAUGGACCACUUGCAAAACUACAGUCAAUUUGGGCUCAUAGCGGUUAGCUUAGGUUACUAUGAGACUCUGAUGUCAUGCUCUGGUAGUAGCACCAGUAGUGAAAUGAAUGAUGAAGAGAAGGCACUUGCCGGUAUUUUGCCAGGGCUGGUGAGGAUGUCCAUUGGAUAUAUUGGGACACUGGAGCAGAAGUGGAGCCAAUUAGAAAAGGCGCUAUCUAGGAUGCACGAUUCCACCUCAUUCAAUGAAAACUAAAGUUCUUUCAUCUCGUGUUCAAUAAUAAGUUUGCCGUAGUUUACGUAAAGAAGGUUUUAUUUUUGGUAUUUCAAUUGUUAAAGGCUGGACCUUUUGCGUAAUAUAAUGUUUUUUAGAAAAGGAAAAUAUAAACUUGAACUUCAACAAGUCUUCUCUAGAUGCAACAACUUAGAACAAAAGUGAAGAUAAAAUAUACCAUAAGUUGCGCUUUCUUUGCCGUUGAUUCUCUUUUCAAUUUGACUUUGCCCAUAUUCAACGUUGAGCUUUAUCAUCUUCCUAGAAUUUGUGUCCAAACGAAAGGUGGAGGAGAAGAAAAAGAAUCGCUGAGUCAGCUAUCCAGUGUCCAAACGUGAACCAAUGGUUUUUUCUUCUGUAAACAAUGUUCUUGCCGUCGGGCCCUGCAACUAUGGCAUGCUACAGCCCAAAGUUCACUAUUUUUAAGUGAAAGUCUGAAACACAAAACUCGUUCAGGCCAGUGUUUAGAAUCAACCAACUUUUGUUAAGAGUUAAAGGUAGCAGAAGUAAAGAUCAACUGAUCAAGCAAGUACUUAUCAUCAUCAAAAAAUCAUAUGAAGAGGGUCAGGACCAAGAAAACUGGGGUUCAAUAAAUUAUUUGCCAACCAAAUAUAUGGGCCAAAUAGAUGGGCUUCAUUUAACAAAAAUUUAUAUAUCAGAUUCCAUUGCCCUGACAGUUUUUUAUUGGGCUUACAACCCAAAGAAAUAAAGCUAAUCGAGGCUUUUCUUAGGACCAAUUCCUAUACCAGCAUUCAUCGAAGAGAAAAGGAUAUACGAAAAUAUGCUAAUGAUUAUAUUAAAAUGCUUUUUAAAAACUUAGCUUAGUCGAAUUCAACCGAUAUUAACAUGACAGAUUUAAAUAUAAUAAUGGAGGCUUGUCAAACGUGUUUAUUUUUUGGGAAAAAAAAUUCAAAAAUGGCAUAGAUACAUUAGUUAUAUUUUUUGAUUAAAUGGCAAUUUUAUUUAUCCAAGAAGUAAGAAAGAUAAACUUGCUACAAAAAAAUUCAUCAAGUAUAAUGGGUACCAGCUAUUAUAUAUGUACAGAUAAAGAAUUACAAAGUUCAUAGUGUAUAAAAAGUUUCCGAAUUAUAAUUAAAAAUUAUUUAAUUUUUAUUUAAUUUUUAUUGUAAUUAAUCAACUCCUUCAAUAUUUAUUUGCAUCUAAUUAAAUUUUUAUUUAGUUGAAAAAGUUGACAUCGUUAGUUAUUUUUGUGAAAUAAGAUAAACUUUUAUUUGACAUCAAUAAAAUUGAUAAGAAUAUGUCACAUGAGACAUUUACAUUAAGAAUAUUAGGAUCACUUACAUUAGUGUAAGUUUUGCAUUUGUUUAACUUUUAGAUCAAAAUUAAAUCCAUGUCUAUUUUGAAUUCUUUUGUCUUAACUAUUUAGAUCAAUGAUAAAAAAAAAAUAAAAUUAAGUGGAUCUCUUUUUAUAUAUAAAAUUUUUCGUAUUCAAAAUUAUACUAUUAUAUAUGACUAUUUAAUGUUAAUAGAUCAAAGCGUUGAGAUUAAACUGUUUUUUCUCAUUUUUACUUAUUUAUCUUAUUCAUUGGAUCUAUUAAAAUUAAGAAAUAGAAAAUUUUGUAAAAUUAAAAAAAAUUUAACACUAUAUAAGUUAUACCUCCCUAUAUAUAUAUAUAUACAUUUACACUUGCAUCAUUUAUCUUCUUUAUUUAUUUAUUUUUGAAUGAAUUUAUUUUCUUUAUUUGUUUGUUUAUUUCCUAAAUUUAAAUCAUGAAAUUAAUUAUAUAUUGAAGCUAAUUACAAUAUUAUUUGUUUGACAGAAAUUUAAGUUGCGUCAUGCAUGCAUGAUUCAUGCAUGUGCCCAGCGUAUGAACAAAAAAGAAAUGAUUUCUGGUCUCAACAUACUCCAUCAUAAUUACAAUAUUAGUAGUAUUUCUUUAUGGCUUUGACGAAAAUGACAAACUCUUCUUUCCUUCCUUUAAGCCCUCGAAGGGAUAAAUGAACGUAUGGAGGUACAAAGCUGGAACUAAGAAGAGUUUCUCUUGCAUUUAUGAUCCAGGAUCGAUCUAAGACACUCAACCUUAAAAAAAAAAAAGAGGCGGUGGCCUGCUGGUUGAUCAGAUAAGAACACCCACUCACCGUUGUUGUCAACAAAUAACAAGUGUCCAUGGUUCUCAUUCGUCAGGAUUUUGAUGAAGGAAUUCAUAGCCCCACUUGGAUUGUGAUGUGCUUACAAUUUGCUCGGAAGGGGAUAUGAUUUUUCUUCUUUUUCAAUUUCUCACUCUUUUCAUUUUUUAACAAGGUUUUAUCAAUGAAAACGUGGCAUAUUGCAGUUGCAGAUCAUGUCCGAAUAAGUCAAGAUCCAAACCAGAAAAGAAAAGAAAAGAAAAGAAAGGGAAUUAAAAUCGUACUGGCAUUACAUAAGUUGGAAUGAAAGGAUAUUCCGUAGGGAAUUGAAAAUUCUCAAAAUAUAUUAGUUGUUAAAAUUAAUUUCAUUCAAAUUUUGGUUAAAAACAAAAGUCAAAAUAGAGACCACACAAAAACGACAAAACAACCUUGCAAUUAACAAACGACACUGUUAUGAAAAUUAAUCCUUUAAAUGUAUGGUUCUUUCCCCUGCUCGGCUUGGUGCUGAUGUGGUUGUCCAUAGUAUCUCCAAGUUUAUCAGCGGUGGGAGCGAUGUUAUUGCAGGUUGGUUUGUAGUAUGUGUCUCAUUUACGGUACACGCGUCAGACAUUAAUCUCAUUUUUUUACGCUGGAAAAACAGCCAUCGAUGACAUGUGUUUUCAGAGUUUUGGUGAAAACUGCCCACUUCCAAAGAAAAACCGAAAAUACUAUGAAUUGAGGAUUCAGAAUCAUAAAAUAAAAUGGGUAAGGAAUAUAGUCAUGCACGUUCCAAAAGUUCGGAUUCAUUAAAGGCAAACGAUCGAAUAUGAUUCUGGUAUGAAUAUAAAAACUCUAAAUAAUGGAUAGGAAAAUUGUUUUAGGGCUAGUGGGGGUGGGGGAGGGGAACUUUUCUCGUGAAUGAUGAUGCUAUUACGUACCGGUAACUUGCAAAGCAGGCAAAUAUUAUUCAAACACAAAUUCUCCUGUUUCUACUUUAAUAAAUAGAUUAAGCCAAUGUAUUAUAUAUAAAAUUAUGAUAAGAUAAAAUAAUAUUAUAAAUAAAAUAAAAUAAAAUAAUUUUAUUUUAUAUUUGAUAUGUGUAAAAAUUAUAAUAAAAUAAUUUAUUUAUUGAUCAAAUUAUUUUUUAAAAAAUUUUAUAUAGUUUAAAUUAUUAAUAUAAUUUUUAAAAAUAUAAUAAAAUAUAUAAAUUCAAUCUUAUAAAUUAAAAAUAAUUUUUUUACUUUAAAAAAAUUAAUUAUCUUACAUUAAAAAGACGAUGAUUUUUUUUAUAAUCAAAUUAUAGUUUUAAAUAUAAAUUAAAUAUAAUAAAAUAAUUAUCAUUUUAUUUUAUAUAUUAUUCUGUACAGCAAAUAUGACCUUGAUUCGUUUUCUAACUAUCUUUUUUAUGGCUGAUAAGGAUAUUCUCCUGCAGCUGCAACUUCACUAAUUUUUCAAAUUUUCACCGAUAAGGAUUCCAUCAUUGUCAGAGAAUCCUGGUAGUGUAGGCAAUAUUUUGUUAAUUCAAUAAAAUGGGAAUUUUCAGGUGCUGUUUAUGGUCCUGCAAGCCUGGUGAACUCCAUGAUGGACCUUCAUCAAGGUGCUCUGAUGCUCCUAGGCCAGACCAUGAACUCCAUGGUUGCCUUUGAGCCCUCUGAAAAGGAUCCCUCACUUGGGCCUUAAAUGAAGGAGCACAGUGGCAGAACCAUGGAUUAUGCCACUAGAAUGAAGAAACUGGGCCUCAGGGUGAUCUACCUGGGCCUUGAGGAUCAACCUCAAGACGAGCUAUUGAAGUCCAUGGCCAACAAGGAAUAUGGGUUUGGUGAUCUCCUUUGACAUGGAAUCUGAAGAAAGGGCUAACAGGCCGAUGCACCACUUUCAGAACUACAGUCAAUUUGGGUUCACAGCGAUUAGCUCGGGUUACUAUGAGACUCUGAUGUCUUGCUCUUGUAGUAGUACCAGCAAGGAAUUGACUGAUGAAGAGAAGGCACUUACCGGUAUUUCGCCAGGGCUGGUGAGGAUGCCCAUUGGAUACAUUGGGACACUGCAGAAGAAGUGGAGUCCAUUAGAAAAGGCGCUCUCUAUUAUGCACGAUUCCACCUUAUUCAAUAAAAACUAAAGUUCUUUCAUCUCGUGUUCAAUAAUGGGUUGGUCGUAGUUCAUGUAAUGAAGGUUUCAUUUGUUCUAUUUCAGUUGUUAAUGUAAGUCAUAGAGAUAAUAUAGAUGGUUAAAAAAAAAAAAAAGAAAAGAACUAUAUAUAUGUAGAAGUGUGGAUCGAAUAAAUUUGGAAUUAAUUCUGUAAAUGUUCAUGUAGACAUUAAUGCAAAUUUGAAAAAACAUAUAUGAUUUGUGUUGUCAUAUUUUUUAUUUUUUAUAAAAAGGAGAUUACAAUAUGAUGAUAAAAAAUCAUGAAAAAUAAGCUAUAACGACUUACUGGAUGCCAUUUAAAUUGUCUAUACAUGCAAAAUAUCACAAAAAAUAAGUUAUCAUGUAUAUUUUGUUUCUCUCUUUUUGUUUCUUUUGUAUACUUUAUUUAUCAUCAUCACUGUCCGGAUAUACAUUAGCAUGUGGAAUUAGAGGGAAAAUUAUACUAUCAUAUCUUUUCUGACUAUGCAAAACUUAUAUAUACAUAUAUAUAUAUAUAUAUAUCUGUUGCACUUGCAUCCUUAUCUUAUUUAUUUGUUUGUUUAUUUCCUUUGUAUCUAUACAUAUUUAAACCAUAAAAUUAUAUAUUGAAGCUAAUUACAAUAUUAUUUUUUUAACAGAAAUUCAGCAUGAUUCAUUCAUGUGCCCAACGUAUAAACAAAGAACGAAAUGAUUCUUGCUCUCAACAUACUCCAUCAUGAUUACAAUAUUAGUAGUAUUUCUUUUUGGCUUUGAUGAAAAUGACAAAGUCCUCCUUGAAUUUGUUAGAAAAAUAAGGUCCAGCCUCAUGUAAGUGGUUUUAGACCAAGUAAAGGUUAUGAGCCUUGAUCUUUCAUUUUACACAGACAUAUAGUUACUUAAUAAAAAAGAGGUGGGGUUAUUUUAAGUGGGUGUCGAAAACCAAGUAAAGAAAAAAGAAAAGUAAAAAAAAAUAGAGAAAAAAGAAAGAAAGAAGAGUUGGUUGAACAGAAGUCGAUCUGUGGUCCGAUUGAGUUGGAACCUUGUCAGGAGGUUUAUGAUUCAGAGUUCUACAUUCUGAACGGUGAAGAUCGAGUAUAAAGCUCUCUAGGAACAAAUCCAUGGUGUAUUUAUUGAGUAACUUAUUUGGUUAGAUUUCUCAAAUUGUUUCUCUAGUUGUUGAUUAGCUCUAGUUUUAGCUAGAGAAGAACUUUGUAUACCUAUUAUUUGAUAGUGAAGAUUUUUCUGGUGGUUCGUGAUUUUUUUCUCUACAUUGGAGGGUUUUUUACGUAAAUCUUGGUGUACUUUAUUUUUUUUUGCGUUUUUUGAUUACUGAUUGUUGUCUAUUAUUUCUGUAUUAUUAUGAUUAUUACUUCAGGUGCAACAAGUGAUAUCAGAAUGAGGGUUAUUUUGAAACAUCGAUACAUAAGCAACCUCGGAUAAAAGUAAAUUAUGUUUGAGAUCAUGAAGGGUGAUACAGGUUUCUUGAUAAAAUUAACAACAUCGAAUUAUUCAAUUUGAAAGUCUAUGAUGGAGGAUCAUCUAUACUGUAAAGAUUUGUAUGAGCCAGUAUUGGGUGAUUCAACUAAACCAACAGAAUAAAAGAUGAAAGCUGAAAGAAGCUAGGUAAAAAGAUGCUAGCUACAAUCAAAAAAUAGGUUGAUAUAAGUGUGUUCCAUCAUGUAACGCAGGAGUCAGAUGCUCACAUUGUUUGAAAAAAAUUGACAGCAUUGCAUGAGAGAAAAAUAGGUAUGAAUAAAGUUAUGCUUGUUAAAAAGCUUACAAUUUUACAGUACAGGGAUGAACGAUCUGUUACAAAGCACUUGAGUGAUUUUCAAGAUAUAUUUAAUCGGAUGACUACUAUGGUACUUAAGAUGGAUGAUGAAAUGAAGACGUUAUUUCUUUUGGGUUCAUUGUCAAACAGUUGAAAUACUCUAGUUGUGACUGUUCUUAAUUCAGCUCCUGAUUAUAAGGUGACAUUGGAAAUGGUAAAGGACAAUAUGCUUAAUGAAGAAGCAAGAUGAAAAGAUGUAGACCCUGAAAAUCAAGCUCUGGUCACAGAAAACAGGGAUAGAAAUAUCGACAGAGGUCAUGACUCAAAAAGUCAUAGUAAGUCUAAACAUAGAUCCCAGUCUAGAGGUAAAGUGAAGUGUUGCUAUUGUGGUAAGGCAUGUUAUAUAAAAUGAAACUGUAAAAUCUUGAAGCAAGAGCGAAAAGAUAAGAAAGGUAAGAGUUCAGAUGAUGGUAACGUUAUAGCAGUGAAUUCAGAUAGUGAUUCAGUUACUUUGAUUUGUACACAUGAUGAUUGUAAUCAUAUUAGUGAUCCCGACAUUAAGUGGAUAGUUGACACAGGAAUAACAUAUCAUUGUAUUUCUAAGAGAGAGUUAUUUACAACUUACAAAGCAAGAGACUUUAGUUGUACUAAAAUAAAAAACAUGAGUGUGUCGUAGAUUGUUAAGAUUGAUGAUAUUGUUGUACAAACUAGUACAGGCUACAUGUUAACUUUGAGGGAUAUCAGACACAUUUCAGAUAUGAGAAUGAACUUGCUUGCUAUUAAUAUCUUUGAUAAGGAGGGAUAUGAAAGUCGACAAAAGAAUAGACAAUGAAAGCUUUUCAAAAGAUCUAUAGUAGUUGCAAGAGAAAAAUUAUGCUGCACAAUAUAUAAGACAUGGAUGUAAUUGAACGGUAACCAGGUAAAUGCCAUUAAAAAUGAUGCUUCAACAAACUUAUGGCACAGGAGGCUAGCACACAUGAGUGAAAAAAGUUUACAGGUUUUGGCAAAGCCAUCUCUUAUUUCCUUGACCAAAAGUAUGUCUCUCGAUUCAUGUAAUUAUUGUUUGUUUGGUAAGCAUCAUAGAGUUUUUUUUCGUAAAAGUUCUCAGAGAAAAAAAAGAUUGAAAUUAAUUUAUUCUGACAUAUGUGGUCCCAUUGAGGUUAAGUCAUUAGGUGGUAGCAGAUAUUUUAUUACUUUUGUUGAUGAUGCUUCACGUAAGACUUGGGUGUAUAUGUUGAAAUACAAAAGUCAGGUACUACAGUAUUUUUAAAAAUUUUAUAUCAUGGUUGAAAAGAUGACAAAGUUAUCCUUGAAGUGUAUUCGAACUGAUAAUAGUAGGGAAUACACAUCUAAAUGCUUUGAAGAGUAUUGUUCAAAGUAUAAGAUCAGGCAUAAGAUGAUAGAACCUGGAACACCGUAGCAUAAUGGUAUAACUGAAAGAAUGAAUCGUACCAUUAUGAAAAAAGUCAAAUGUAUGUUGAGGAUGAAAAAAUUACCAAAGCCAUUCUGGGGUAAAACAGUUAACACGACUUGUUAUUUACUUAACAGAUCACCAUCAGUUCUUUUGAGCUUUGACAUUUCAGAAAGAGUGUAGACAAGAAAAGAUACUUUAUACUCUCACUUGAAAGUUUUUGGGUGUAAAGCAUUCAUGCAUGUGUCGAAAGAGCAGAGAUCAAAGCUUGACAGUAAAGCCACACAGUGUGUGUUUGUAGGAUAUGAUGAAAAAUUUGAUUACAGGGUAUAAAAUCCAGUAAAGAAAAAGACAAUCAAAAGUAAAGAUGUAAUCUUUCAUGAAAAAAAAAUCAUAGCAGACCUUGAAAAAAAUGAGAAGACUACACGAGUUACUGUUGAGUAUGAUAUUUUAACACCGACAGAGAUUCCACAGAAAGAGCCACAAAUGGUGAAAAUGAGCAAGAAACAGAACUUGGAAAUAUGAAUAAGCUAGCCACAGUUGGUGAUGAGCCAGAUGUAAUUAGUUUUGAACAAGAUGAGCAAUCCUCUCUACCUGAGAGUGUUGAACAUGAGGAGUUACCUUUGGCAUCAAGUGAUAUAGAAUCUCAGCUUAGGAGAUCUACUAAAGAGUACAAGCCAUCUAUCAGGUAUCUAAGUUCAGAUUUUAUUUUAGUUACCAGUAAAUGAGAGCCAGAAAGCUUUCAAGAUGUACAGGCUAUUUCGGAUAGAGAGUACUGGUUAAAAGUAAUAAAAAAAUAGAUGAAAUCAUUGCAAAAGAAUGAUACUUACGAUCUUAUUAAACUUCUAACAGGGAAGAGGCCAUUAAAGAAUAAAUGAGUAUUCAAGUUGAAAAAAGAUGGUGAUAAACUAGUGAGGUACAAAGCUCGAUUGGUAGUAAAAUGGUUUUCUCAGAAAUCGGGCAUCGAUUUUAAUGAGAUUUUUACUCCAGUUGUAAAGAUGAGUUCUAUUCGAGUGGUACUGGGAUUAAUAGCUAGUUUAAAUCUUGAGCUUGAGCAACUUAAUAUUAAAACUAUAUUUUUGCAUGGUGAUUUACAUGUGGACAUUUAUAUUAAUCAGCUUGAGGGUUUUAAAGUGAAAGGGAAAGAGCACUUAGUUUACAAAUUGAAAAAAAAACUUGUAUGGCUUGAAACAAGCUCCGCGAUAGUGGUACAAGAAGUUUGAUUCUUUUAUGGUGAGUCAUAGCUAUAAAAAAUAACAGCUGAUUCUUGUGUGUAUGUUAAACAAUUUUCUAAUGGUAACUUCAUUAUCCUAUUAUUAUAUGUUGAUGAUAUGUUAAUUGUAGGAUAAGAUGCUAGUAUGGUUUACAGGUUGAAAGAACAAUUGUCUAAGUCUUUUGAUAUGAAAGAUUUAGGUUCAGUAAAACAGAUUCUUGGUAUGAACAUUAUCCGAGAUAAAAGAGCUAAAAAGCUAUGGUUGUCAUAGGAAAAGUAUGUUGAACGAGUGCUUGGUAGAUUUAACAUGCAACAUGCUAAAUCAGUUAGCAGUCCAAUUACCAAUCAUUUUUAUCUAAGUAAGAAAUCUUGUCCAGUGUCUAAGGAAGAGUAACUAGCUAUGUCUAGUAUUCCUUAUUCUUCUGCGGUUGGUUCUUUAAUGUAUCUUAUGGUUUGUACAAGGCCUGAAAUUACUCAUGUAAUUAGUGUAGUGAGCAUAUUUCUUUCUAAUUCGAAAAAAAGUUCAUUGAAAAGUAGUGAAAUUGAUUUUUAGAUAUUUGAGAGGUACCUUAAAAAUGUGCUUGACUUAUAAAGUUUCACAACCAGUUUUAGAAGGGUUUACGAAUGCUGAUAUGGCAGACGAUCUUGAUGGUAGAAAAUCUACUUCAGGGUAUUUGUUCACUUUUACAGGAAGAAUUGUAUCUUGGCAAUCUAAGUUACAGAAGUGUGUUGCUUUAUCAAUUACAGAGAUUGAGUAUAUUACAGUAAUUAAAGCAUGUAAAAAAAUGCUUUGGAUGAAACGUUUUCUUUUUGAAUUGAGGUUGAAUCAGAAAGAGUAUGUGAUAUUUUGUGAUAACCAGAGUACUUUAGAUUUGAGUAAGAAUACCAUGUACCAUGCUAGAACAAAGCACAUUGAUGUUAGAUAUCAUUGGUUAUGUUCAGUGAUUGAAGAACAACGAUGCUAUUGAAGAAAGUUCAUACUGAUAAGAAUAUAGUAGAUAUGUUGACUAAGAUACUUCCAAGAAAAAAGCUUGAGCUUUGCAGUAACUUGGCCGGAAUGAGUUCCCUGGCCAAGGUAAGUUCCAAAUGAAACUGCUAUGGUGAUGAAUCUCCUUUUAAUGGGGCUGGAUGGGGAGAUUGUUAUGAAAAUGGGGUCCAACCUCAUGUAAGUGAUUUUGGACCAAGUAAAGGCCAUAGGCCUUGAUCUUUCAUUUUACAUAGAGUCCUAGCUACUUAAUAAAAAAGAGGUGGGGUUGUUUUAAGUGGGUGGCAAAAACCAAGUAGAGAAAGAAGAAAAGCCAAAAAAAAUAGAGAGAAAAAAGAGAAUGGAGAGUUGGUUGAACGAAAAUCGAUCCGUGGUCCGAUUGAGUUGGAACAUUGUCAAGAGAUUUAUGAUUAAGAGUUCUACAUUCUGAACAGUGAAGAUCGGGUUUGAAGCUCUCUAGGAACAAAUUCAUGAUAUAUUUGUUGAGUCACUUAUUUGGUAAAAUUUCUCAAAUUAUUUCUCUAGUUGUUGAUUAGCUCUAGUUUUAGCUAGAGAAGAACUUUGUAUAUUUAUUAUUUGAUAGUGAAGAUUUUUUUGGUGGUCCGUGAUUUUUUUCCUCUACACUAGAGGGUUUUUUACGUAAAUCUUGGUGUGCUUUAUUUUUUCUAUAUUUUUUUAUUAUUGAUUAUUAUUUAUUGCUUUUGUAUUGUUGUGAUUAUUGCUUCAGGCGUAACGAAAUUUGUCAAAACCCGACUUUCUUCUUUGUCAAAUCUAGACAUCUUGUCUUUGGUCCAAAUAAAAGGAUUACCCUGCUUUCAAAUACCUAACCUUUCAUAUCUCCACUUUCCGAUUACUAAUAAUAUGGGAUAUAGUAAUACAGUUUAUAAGUUAAUAGUAAUAAUUAAGCGGUGUUUUUCUCUUCAUAUCUCCUCUUUCCUUCGAAGGGAUAUUUGAAAGUAUGGAGGUACAUAACUGGAAAUAAGAAGAGUUCAUCUUGUAUGUAUGAUCCAGAAUCGAUGAAGACACUCAACCUUAAAAAAAAAAAAAAUGAGGUGCUGGCCUGCUGGUGAUCAGAUAAGAACAUUUUGCACGUUGUUAUCAGCAAAUAGAACGUGCCCAUGGUUGUCACUUGUCAGAAUCUUGAUGAAGUGGCAGAUAAACUUCCACUUGGAACGUGAUGCGUUUACAAAUUUUCUCGGAAGGGGAUAUCUUUUUUUUUUCUUUUCAAUUUCUAACUAACAGGGUUUUAUCAAUGAAAAUGUGGCAUAUUGUAGUUGCAGAUCAUGUCUCAUUAAGACAAUUUCAAAGCCAGAUAAGUAAAGAAAGGAAAAUCAUACUGGAAUUAUACAAGUCGUAAUGACAGAAUAUUACUUGUUAGAAUUAAUUUCAAUCAAAUUUUGGUUAUAAUCAAAAGUCAAAAUAGAGAUAUGACUUCACAAAAACGAUCUAACAAUUUGAUACGACACUGCUACGUGUUUGCGUUUGUAACAUCCUUUAAAAUGUCGUCUCUGUUAGUUUAUUGCAACGUCAAUAACUUAAAUUUGGUUUGACGAUUACCUACUUCUCUCGCCUUUCUCCAAUCUAAUAGAUAAAUAGUAGAAGUGCCGACUCCUUUUGAACUGUUGAUGUUGGCAUAUGGUUUUAUAGUUUUCUCCUUUACGCUUUCCACUCCAUGCACUAAUUAUGACCAAAUAGUCAAAAACAUACCUAUAGAUAUCUAUCUGCAUGUUUUGGAAGACUAAAGAAUAUUUAUUUGUCUUAAAAAAAAUUUACUAGCUGUUGUGUGUGAAAAGAGAGUUGCGAAGGCGUCGGUAAUAAUUUUAGGGUUGGGAUGGGUAAAUUAUAGGUUUAGAUAAUUUUUUAUUUUUGAGAAUCUAAUUACGAAAAGUUAUGAUUUGAUCAUUAAAAUUUAUGAAAAAUUUUUUUAUCAUUCAAUUAUUAGAAAUUAAUUAACGAAAUGUUGACAUAAUAUUAUGGUAUCAUUUGUCAAAAUGUCGUAUAAUAUUGCUUUGACAUUCGAUAUAUCAUAUGACACUAUUUGCGUAGCAUAAUAAGUUUUGAAAAUUAAACAAGAUAAAUUACAUUUUUAAUCUCUUAACUUUUUGAAAGUUUUUAUUGUUUUAAUCCAACUUUGAAAACUUUACAAUUUGAUUAUUAAUGUUUUUGAAAUUAUUCAUAUUUUUAAUAUUUUGUUACAUGAAAGUAAUGCUACAAAUUUUUAUUUUUAUUAGGAUGUUGUCGUUAUAAAAUAUUUAAUAUUUAAUAUUUAAUAUUUCAUUUAAGUUUUCUUGAUUGGUUAAUGUAAUAUAUUAAAAUACUUAAAUUUAUUUGAGUGAGCUGGAUGACAAAUACUUUUAAGUAAUGCUAAUCAAGUAAAUUUAGCAAUUGGCUUUAAUCAUAUUCUUUUUAAAUUUAAAGGGUAUAAUAAUUUUAAUUUUAUGCACUAAAAAUAUUGAUUGCUCAUUUUUUUAAUAAAGUUCAAAACUUUAUUUGAAUAUUAUCUUAGUAUCUUUCAAUAUAGAUAACAAAAAUAACAUAACAAUUUAUUAUUUUAAUAAAAAAUUGUUGAUUAAAUUGUUAUAAAGUCAUGUGACAAUGAGACAUUGAAAAAUUUUUCAGGAGCAUGUCAACUACAAUUGGGUGACCAAAAAUAAAUUCAUAAAGCUAAUAACUAAAUUUUAACUUUUCAUAAUUAAUGAUCAAAAUAAAAAAUCGUCUAAAGGUGAAUGAUUAAAAGUGUAAUAUAUUAUCGUUAAAAAAUACGUGUUAACCCUUCAAAAAAAUUGUUAAUUGGCAUAUACAUGAUAUUGUAAUAUUGUAAUUAAUAUGAAUUAAUUAAAUAUUUAUUUAUUCAAAAAAAUCACCUACAAAGUCUUUAUAAGCAAACAUCUAAAUAAUUAAUAAUGUCAUAUUUUAAUUUGAAUAUCUCGAUUUCAAAUCAUAUAAAUAAAGAAUUUGUAGAAUGCGAAAAAAAAUACCUUUUUUUUUUAUAAAUUAUUAUAUGUUAAAAUUAAAAUAUUGAACAAAUAACUGAGUAAUUGAAAAACAUGGUAAAAUUUUCAAAAUUUUCAACCCAUUUAUCGGAAAAAAAAAAGUUGUAACCCUUAUUUUUGGUAACCCCUACGAGGUUAUAACUUUAGGUAAAUGUAUAUAGGAAAUUUCCGAAAUCCCUAAUAAAAAACAGAUUAGAUUCACUGGAUUUUAUUUUAAGAAAAAGUUUAGGUAAUGUCACAUAAGAUAAUAUUUUACUUUUUUUAUAAUUAAAAUUAUCAAAAUUUAAAUUUGAUUAUUGAUCGCAGCACUAACUAUUUUGUCUAUCUCUUCCCCAGACGGCUCUUUAAUUCCUUCUCCUUAAUAAUUUUAUUUCAUCUUUCAAUUUUGCCAUUAACAUUUACGUCCCCACCAACAAAACCCAAACAACAAAAAAAGGAGCGAAAGAUUUCUUGGAGGUUGGUUCAAUCUUGAUUCCCGUUCCCUCUAGAAUUAAUUAUGGAAGAAACAGAGAACCCUGGCUUUGUUUUUACCGGAAAGAAGAGAGCUGCAGGGGCUGAUGGAUUUGACGGGGAUGAUCUUUUCGUGGCCAAGACAUCAACCCUAGCACCAGCAUGGGAAAAUGACCCUGCCGCUGCAUUAGCCAGCGCGCGCCAUGAAUUCGGUGAGCAUGGUGGCGUUAACAUGUCUAUUGAGGCCUCCGCCACAUUCACCGUCAUGGAACCUGAGACCAUGCGCCGCAUGUUUGCUGGUGAACUCGGCCCUGAUCGUGAUUUCUUCAUUUAUAGCCGUCACUUCAAUCCCACUGUCUUAAAUCUCGGUCGUCAGAUGGCAGCCAUGGAAGGAACCGAAGCUGCCUAUUGCACUGCCAGCGGUAAUUAAUUUUUCUGUUUCACUUUCACUUUUUAUUUCACACGUAAAAAUCUAAAAAACAUUAUUAUCAAAACCUUCAAUUUGAUGGUUAAUAAUUUGAUUUCGUGAUUACAGGUAUGUCUGCUAUUUCAUCCGUGCUGUUGCAGCUCUGCAGCAGCGGUGGACACGUGGUGGCAUCGAGGACUCUCUACGGCGGGACCUAUGCACUCCUAACCCAUUUCUUGCCCAGAGCCUGUAACAUCACGACCACGUUCGUGGACAUAUGCGAUCACGAAGCGGUGAAAAAUGCCAUCGUCGAAGGACGGACCAAAGUUUUGUACUUCGAGUCCAUGUCGAACCCUACACUCGCUGUAGCCAACAUUCCGGAGCUAAGCAGGCUAGCACACGACAAAGGAACCAUGGUGGUUGUAGACAACACCUUCGCUCCCAUGGUUCUUUCCCCUGCUCGGCUUGGUGCUGAUGUGGUUCUCCAUAGUAUCUCCAAGUUCAUCAGUGGUGGGGCCGAUGUUAUUGCAGGUUUGUUUGUCUCUUUUUUGUCAUUUACCGUACACGAGUCACACAUUAUUAGGUUGGAAAAAGAGCCAUCAAUUACGUGUAAUCUUCUGAUUAAUCAAGUUAAAUGGUUGAAUCUAGGAAUUGACUUCAGAGUUUCGAUGAAAAUUGGCUUUUUCCAAAAAAAAAGAAAAGAAGAAAAAAAAAUACUACCAUGAAUUGAGGAUUCUUAAUCAUAAAAUAAAAUGGGAAAUGAAUAUAGUCUACCAUAGUCCAAAAGUUUCGUUUUCUAGCUAUCUUUUUUAUGGUUGAUAAGGCUAUUCUCCUGCAAUUUCUCUAAUUUUUCAGUUUUUCACCGAUAAGAUCAUUAUCUUGAGGUGUGCGUUUCGAUCCUCCGUUUCCUCUUAUGGAUAAGCGUUCAUGUGAAGUGUUUUGUAUUUUUUAUUUUUCUGAUAAAUUCUGUAUACCAACUUAAAGUUUCAGGGCCUUAAAUUUGACAUUUCUAGUUGAAAAGUUAUAUAUCCCUUCUACAAAAGUUUUUAAUAAUCUUUUGCCCUAAUGUUGUUACCUUGCUAACUUCUAGGCAAAGCUAGAUUGCCAAAAACAUUAGUUCUUGUGAAAUAUAAAUGCUUUUUUAGUCAGUUUAUUGAUAUUGGAAUAUAGUAACUAUUAUUGACCGAGAAUCCUGGAAGUGUAGAUAUGCAUUUUGUUAAUCCAAUAAAAUGAGAAAUUUCAGGUGCUGUUUGUGGUCCUGCAAGCCUGAUGAACUCCAUGAUGGACCUUCAUCAAGGUGCUUUGAUGCUCCUAGGCCCGACCAUGAACGCCAAGGUUGCCUUUGAACUCUCUGAAAGGAUACCUCACUUGGGCCUAAGAAUGAAGGAGCACUGCCACAGAGCCAUGGAUUAUGCGACUAGAAUGAAGAAAUUGGGACUCAGGGUCAUCUACCCGGGCCUUGAGGAUCACCCUCAACACGAGCUAUUGAAGUCCAUGGCCAACAAGGAAUAUGGGUUUGGUGGUCUUCUUUGUGUUGACAUGGAAUCUGAAGAAAGAGCUAACAGGCUGAUGCACC
This 54460-nucleotide long non-coding RNA is filed under the name Durio zibethinus. Its description in RNAcentral is "long non-coding RNA (DZIB_LNC000064)". Lineage: Eukaryota; Viridiplantae; Streptophyta; Magnoliopsida; Malvales; Malvaceae. The record is from RNAcentral.